GGUUCUAAUCCAAUUAGUAGUAAGUAUUUUCUUUUUUAUUUAAUAGUCUCUGACUAUCAUUAAAUAAAGGGUAGAGCAAUUCUUUUUUCUAGAGAUUCUAGAGAAAGUGAGACAAAGUGAAGCGAAAGAGUUUUCUUUGUAUAAGAAUUAGGUCUAUAUCAUAUCUAAAUAGAAGGGAAAUCAAAAAGAAGGGAAGUGGUGGGUUAGCCUCUAGUGGCUAAAGAUAUAAACUUAGAUUAGUAAGUUGUUUUGAAAAUCCCUAGAAUCAAGGAGAGUUUUGGAAAUCCCUAGAAUCAAGGAGAGCCUUCUCCAUUUCGGUUGGGCCAUUGGCUAUAUAUGCUUGUAAUCGCUUGACAAUCAAUUAAGGAAGAAUUAUAUCCUUAAUCUCUCUCUGUGUGUGUUAAACCUGCGGUUGAGGGGGGGAUAACCUCACUGGAGAGGACGACAGAUGGCUACGAGCUGCGUAGCCACGGUCCGGCUAGUCGGGGGCUCGACGCCCUUGACAUCAAAUAGUUUGUGGAUAAAACUAAAAACGAUCCAAAAAAUAAAAUAUGGAAGAGCACAUCUAUGAAAAAAAGGACAGAUGAAUGGAAAUUUUCAGACACAUGUAAAAACAGACAAGUGAGGAGCUUUGGGUUAUCUUACAAAGCACUUGGUGAAUGGACCCCCAGUAUGAAGGGUCUCCUUAAGGAUGGAGUUUGUAUUAACAAUGCUCUUCAAAAUAACUGUAAUGCUGUCUUCGUUGCUGCAAUAAGCAAGGCAACUCAUGAUCACAAGGUUAUUCUGAAUCACCAAACUAAAAUGAGGAUAAACAUAGUAGCUCUUAAGAAAUAGAAGGCAAACCUUGUUCUACUAUUACCAACAACAACAGAAGGCCGUAUAGGAACAGGUGGCACUGCAAUCUCUGUCACAAUAAGUUUCUCUGGCCUAUCACCAAGGUUUAGUAAUUCACAAUCCUGCAGAAAAAUGAAAAAAGAGUAAACUUUUGUCAACAAAACUGCGACAAGUUCAAAUUGCAAAAUAGCAUCUAAUGUGAGGCAACCAAUGUGGCUUGGGGCAACUUGUUAGAUAGGUUUAAUGUUUUCUCCAGCUCACUUGCCUGUCCUAGUGUUAUUGAGCACUAAAACAGGGAGUAGCAGAACACAUCAAAUGGUCCUUCUUCACUUAAGACCCUUGAAGGAUGAAAAUUGGCACCAACCUCAUCAAUCAUUCUUCUGAAUAGAGAUAGAACAGUUGCAGGGUCUAACACUAGAACUGAACUAGCAGACACCUUUUCUUUCUUAUUUUGUAGUGCAUUCUUCAAUUCUUCUGUAUGUCCAUCCAAAACUUUGCUACAAUCAUGAACUACUAUCAAGCCCGCUCUGCCUUUUUUAACUACACCUGUUUUUACAACAAAAACAGGAAAGAGUUGACUGUUGAGCGAUUUCUUGCAAAUGUUAGCUUACAAACAACAGUCAGGUAUCAGUAGUGACAUUACAAGGUAAAAUUAUUAUGGACAAUAUAGGAUGGCUUACCAUUUCUGUAAUCACAACGGGGGCAGCAGGAUAGUUUGCAUUUGUCCCUCACUUUUUUCAUUGUAGCACUUUUCUGUAGUGCAUCUGCCCUGGGAUUUCUCAUCUUCUUUAGAAACUCCCUGCGGUCUUUCUCGAUAAGAAGAACUCUACUACAGCUCUGGAAAGGCAUGAGGGAACGAGAAUAAUUAACAAGUCAGAGUUCAAGUGUUCAGCCCACCCAUGAUGUAAACUUCUUCAUGGCAGUACCUUGCAGAUGCACUUCAACACGUCCAGAAUACAGUUAAAGAAGCCCACGUUAAAAACUGGAAGCGCGAGCUUCAAGUAGCCGAAAUGACCUGGACAGUCACUAAAUUCACCAUGGCAGGUAUUGCAUUUGCCUCUCUUAGUCGGGAUUCCCUGAAAUUUGACACGGGAAAAAUAAGUUGCAACAACUUGAACGAUGCCACAAACGCACGUUUAUGUUAGAACUCCCAUCUUCAAAUCAUCAAUGAAAAUACACAUGACGAAACAGCAAUACCGAGCGGGGCAUUACCAUUCGCGGGUCGAGCAACCCAUUGGGAACCGGCGUCAUGUCGCGGUCAUAGAUCCGGUUGUUCCAGACCUGUACCUCCGCUGACUUGCGAAUCUCGCUGCCCGAGAGCACGCUGAACCGGAUGCUCUUUCUGACAUCAAAAGCAACCAAACGUAACAGGGAAGCGGCAGAGUAAGUGUAAUCGUCGAGCUACGAUUCAUUAAACGGGACGCGAGCCGCAUGCUUACAUCCUCCGGGUGCCGACGUCCUCGAUGAAGGGUUCCUUGGUGCAGCGCAGCUUCUCCUCCGGCUUCGCCAUCACUUGAUGCGUUGCUCUGUACGGAUUAGAGUAGGGACUAGGUAUGCUGGGGAGUGAAGGGCGGCGGGCGGCGGGAGACGAGCACCGUAGUUUCGUCUCGAGCCGCCGCCGGCUAUUCUCCGGCGAGGAGUCCUCUGCACAGAAAGCGGAGGUGGAAGCAGCUUAGGCGGCGGCGGCGGCGGCGCGGGAGACCUAGAUCACUUUUACCUUACUGAUGACUUAAAUAAGUAAGGGUAAACUGAUAUUAUAUAUUGUCCCGUUCAAAUUUAUAAAAACAUUUGACUUUUUUUCUUUAAAUUUAAAUUUAAUAUAAAAAUCAGAGAUUAUUUAAACUGAUAUUAUAUAUUGUCUCGUUCUCAAAUAUUGUGAAUCAAAAACAAGUCAACACGAUUAUCAAACAUUAAGGACAUUUGUCUUUGAAAUAUUAUCUCCUCUCGGAUAUAAUGAUCUCCAGACGAAGAUCAUUGAUGACACGUCUUCAUGGUUCAUAAGAGUUUAUAUGCAUGAGUUGUUUUAUCCAUUAAUAUAUUUAUUCCAUGAUAAACAUAUAAAUAUUAUUAGAAUUUAUAUUACAUUGAUAUCUUCGGCUUGUUUGAAGGUGAUAACACGAGAGCAAUUACAAUCCAACGUGAACAGUAUGAGGGUACUGUUCAUCUAUUUAUAGGCAACUAUAAAAGUUUGUGUGCUAUUACAUUUAUGCCCUCGACAAUUACAUACAGAGUUUGCAAAAUGUUACAAGAGCAGUAUCGUCAUUUGUAUUUACUAACUUGAGCAACACCUUCUCCUCAUGUUGUAUAUCUGUUUCACCGUGAUGAAGCAUGUUGGACGAAGCUCACUUCGCUCCUCUUGUGUUAUGUCGAAGCUUUUCUGGUGACGAAGCUCUUGUAAUAUCUAAUAGUAUAUUGAAAGCAAAUGGUUAACCGCGUUUUUGACGACCUUUAGAAGAGGAAGGCCCCCAACAAUAACAUCGCUUGCAUUGCUAGGCAAACAAGGAAAACUGCUACUCUGUCCCGCCUAACCUAAGAGAUGGAUUAGUAUUAGGAAGAUUCAAUUCAAAAUACACAAAUAGUCGUUGAACACAUCACAACAACAAAAAAAAUAAUGAAUUUUAGCUAAAACACUCGUACUAUAAAAGUACACACAAUUAGUAGUACUAGUGUUGCACCGACUAAAUAGCUAUGAUAGAGAUGACCAUUAUUAAUCUAAUAAGAGUACAAAUUUCAAAUGUUGAAUGGCUAGACCACCUCUCUUGGUUUUGUGUUGCUGCAUGUUCUGAACUUUUUCCAUUGUAGAGGCAACAUGAAUAGUCGCUCAUCGACUCUUCAUAAUUGACUCUUCAUAAUUGUAGCAUCGCUUGCAUUGCUAGGCAACAAGGAGAAAUUGUUGCUCUAUCCAACCUAGCAUAAGAGAUGGAUUAGCAUUAGGAAGAUUCAAUUCAAAAUACACAAAUAGUCGUUGAACACAUCACAACAAAGAUAUUAGUGAAUUUUAGCUAAAGCACAUGUAUUAGUGGCUACCAGGGGCACUAUGGAAGUAGAGCCUAUUUUUUCUGAAAUUGCAACUCUGGUUCAUCAGUUGUCUGUUGUUCCUCACUAGAAAUCUGAAAUUUUGUUCAUUACAUAUAGCAAAGAUCAUGCAAACAGGACACCUGACUGCGAACACAAGGUUGACUUGUCCCUUGUGAUUCGGGUUGAUGAUGAUUGAUUGUCAGCGGGUAGCACUACAGGGUAGUCAGUGGACUGACCAGAGUGUGAGAUUAUGUUUGUGCAACCAUUUCGGUCGUCUUGUGGUGUGCAGGUGUGGAGCAUAGGGAUGGUGGUCAACGACUGAUGUGAAGGUCAUGCAGACUCGUCCUGAUGGACCGAGAGCGGUGAAGGCGAGUGUUGGGUCUUGACUGACGGACCAGAGCAGCCGGGUGACCAGUCGCGGUGGCUGACACCUAGGACACUGAAAGGGAAAUGUGCCCUUGGAUCAUUUCUAUAAAUAUUUUAGUGAUUAGAUGUUGAACACAUAUUGUUUUGUGCUAAGUGUCAAAGAGAUGCAAAUGGAAAAACAAGGUAUGACUCUAGCCUUAGUAAAUUGUUUUUGGUACUAACAUAUUCUUCUAAGUGCUAGAAACCUUGGCAAAUCGAGAGAAAUCAGAUUGGGGAACUCGCAUCAGCCUACGUUACACCGGACUGUCUAGUGUGCACCGGGCAGUGUCCGGUGCCCAGGCUGACGCGCCGGCAAACAGGCAGCUCUCGGGAUAAACUCAGCGUGCCACAACUAUAGUUCACCGGACUGUCCGGUGAGUCAGCCGCACCCACGCCAACGGGCAGCCACGCGAUCAGCGGGCGACACGUGGACUUCACCAAUGGUCGAAUGGUCACACCGGACUGUCAUGUGUGCCACCAGACUGUCCGGUGUGCCACGAGGGUCGAUGGCUGCAACGGUCGGCUUCACCAGAAAAGGAAGGAAAUCGUGCACUAUUCACUGUUUGGUGAUGCACCGGACUGUCAGGUGUGCCCACGGACAGAAGGCAACAAUGGCCUUCCAAAAUGGAGCUCCAACGGCUCCUAGCUUCCUUGGGGCUAUAAAAGGGACCCCUAGGCGUAUGGAGCAGGACACCAAGCCUCCAUUGAACAUCCUAAGACGCCUAGACCCCACAAACACGCAUUCGACUCAUUGUGUUUGAGAUCUUAGCACUUUUCUGAGUUGUGACUCUGUUGCGCUAUGUUGUGUACUCGAUUCUUGACUUGUGUGCGUGUUAUUACUACGACUCUAGCUCUUAUGUGUGUUUAUUUUCCCUCCCUUACUCUUGUGGUUGAAUUGUGAUCAAUCUUGUAAGGGUGUGAAAGGGAAAUAGGGUUAACCUUUUCCCGGUAUUAAUUUUGGUGGUUGAAUGCCCAACACAAAUAUUGGACUAACUAGUUUGCUCUAGAGUAUAUGAUCUACAGGUGCAUAAAGGUUCAACACAAACCAAUAAAAGAUUGAAGAUAGGGUUCAAAUACAAAGGAGCAAAGGAACCGAGAGUGCCCUGGUCUGGCGCACCGGACUGUUCGGUGUGCCACCGGACAGUGUCCGGUGCACCAGGACCAUACAAUCCCAAACCAGCCACUCUCGGGUUUUCGCCAGCGCGCUCCACUAUAAUUCACCGGACUGUCCGGUGUGCCACCGGACUGUCCAGUGUACCAGCGGAGUAACGGCUAUCCAGCGCAACAGUCGACUGCAACGUCGCCUGACAUCGCUAAAGUGAAGAACAGUGUGCGCGCAGAGUCAGAGGCGCACCGGACAGUGAACAGUGCCUGUCCGGUGCGGCACCGGACUGUCCGGUGCCACUAGAAGACAAAGCCUCCAACGAUUGACUGCUCUCGAACCCUAACGGUUGGGUGACGUGGCUGGCGCACCAGACUGUCCGGUGCGCCCAUCGACAGCAGCCUGCCCCAACGGUCAAAUUGGUGGUUUAGGGCUAUAAAUACCUCCCAACCACCACCACUCCAACCAUCCAAACAUUCCACACAUUGCAUUCAAUACAAGAGCGAUAGACUUCACUCCAAGACACAAAUCAAAGCAAUCGAUCCACUCGAAGUCCCAAAUUCAACUCUAGCGCAUUAGGGCUUGUGAGAGGAUCACUUGUGUUUCUUGUUGCUCUUGUUUGCUUGGUUGGCUUUCUUUUCUUUUCAUUUGUUACUCUCAAGUGCUUUGUAAGCAAGGCAAGAGACACCAAUUGUGUGGUGGUCCUUGCAGGGUCUAAGUGACCCGUGAGAAGUAAGAAGAAAGCUCAUUCGGUCUAAGUGACCGUUUGAGAGAGGGAAAGGGUUGAAAGAGACCCGAUCUUUGUGACCACCUCAACGAGGACUAGGUUCUUUAGAACUGAACCUCGGUAAAACAAAUCACCGUGUUCAUCCACUUUAUUUUUUUGGUUGAUUUGUUUUUCCCUAUCUUUCGAACUCGAAUUUAAUUCUAACGCUAUCCCCGGCUUGUAGUGUGCGCUUAAGUUUAUAAUUUUCAGAUUCCGCCUAUUCACCCCCCUCUAGGCGACUUUCAAUUGGUAUCAGAGCCUGGCGGUUCAUUAGAGUCUAACAACUCGAAGUGAUGUCGGGAGGAUCCGCCAAGAGGGAGAUAGAAACCGGCGAGAAGGCCACAAGCCAUGGGAAGGCUCCAUCAAGGGAGUCUGGCACCAAAGCCAAAGAGGGAUCCCCUCUCCACGUCAAGUCGCAUCGGAGUGGCGACAAGAAGAAGAAGAUGAAGAAAGUGGUCUACUACGAGACCGAUUCUUCGUCGCCCUCCACAUCCGGCUCCGACACGCCGUUCGUCACUUCUAAGCGCCAUGAGCGCAAGAAGUUUAGUAAGAUCCCCUUACGCUAUCCACGCAUUUCCAAACGCACUCCUUUACUUUCCGUCCCACUAGGCAAACCACCGGUCUUUAACGGUGAAGAUUAUUGUAUGUGGAGUGAUAAAAUGAGGCACCAUCUAACCUCACUCCACGCUAGCAUUUGGGAUAUUGUUGAGUUUGGUGCGCAGGAACCAUCCGUGGGGGAUGAAGGCUAUGAUUCGGACGAGGUAGCCCAAAUCCAACACUUCAACUCCCAAGCCACUACUAUACUCCUCGCCUCUCUAAGUCGAGAGGAGUAUAAUAAGGUACAAGGGUUGAAGAGUGCCAAAUAGAUUUGGGACAUGCUCAAGAUCGCGCACGAAGGAGACGAGGUGACCAAGAUCACCAAGCGAGAGACGAUCGAGGGGGAGCUCGGUCGAUUCAUGCUUUACCAAGGGGAGGAGCCACAAGCCAUGUAUAACCGGCUCAAGACCUUGGUGAACCAAGUGCGCAACCUCGGGAGCACCAAAUGGGAUGACCAUGAGAUGGUCAAGGUUAUUCUUAGAUCACUCGUUUUCCUUAACCCUACUCAAGUUCAAUUAAUUCGUGGUGAUCCAAGAUAUAAACUAAUGUCUCCCGAGGAAGUGAUAGGAAAGUUUGUGAGCUUUGAGCUAAUGAUCAAAGGCUCCAAACAAAUCAUUGAGCGAGGCGCCUCCUCCACACCCGAGGUACAACCCGUCACAUUCAAGGCGACAGAGGAGAAGAAAGAAGAGUCUACAUCAAGUAGACUCCCCAUCGACGCCUCCAAACUCGACAACGAGGAGAUGGCGCUCAUCAUCAAGAGCUUCCACCAAAUCCUCAAGCAAAGGAGGGGGAAUGAUUACAAACCCCGCUCCAAGAAGGUUUGCUACAAAUGUGGUAAGCCUGGUCAUUUCAUUGCUAAAUGUCCAUUAUCAAGUGAUAGUGACAGGGGCGAUGACAAGAAGGGAAGAAGGAAGGAGAAGAAGAAGUAUUACAAGAAGAAGGGCGGCGAUGCCCAUGUUUGCCGGGAGUGGGACUCCGAUGAGAGCUCCACCGACUCCUCCUCCGACGAGGAUGUCGCAAACAUCGCCGUCAACAAGGGUCUCCUCUUCCCCAACGUCGGCCACAAGUGCCUCAUGGCAAGGGACGACAAAACGAAGGUAAAAUCUAGAGCCUCCACUAAAUAUGCAACAUCUAGUGAUGAGGAGAACUCUAGUGAUGAUGAGGAUAAUUUAGUUGCCCUUUUUGCCAACCUAAAUAUGCAACAAAAGGAAAAAUUAAAUGAAUUGAUAGGUGCUAUUCAUGAGAAGGAUGAACUCUUGGAUAGCCAAGAGGACUUCCUAAUUAAGGAAAAUAAGAAGUAUGUUAAGGUUAAGAAUGCUUAUGCUCAGGAGAUAGAAAAAUGUGAGAAAUUGACUAAUGAGCUUAGCACUUGCCAUGAUAUCAUAUCCAACCUUAGAAAUGAUAAUGCCAAAUUAAUUGCUAAGGUUGAGAAGUUAAAUGUUUGUGAUGAUUCUUUUGCCAAUCUUAAAAAUGAUAAUGCUAGUUUACUUGCUAAGAUUGACAAAUUAAAUGAAUCAAUUUCUAGCCUUAAAACUGAGAAUGACAAAUUAAUUGCUAAGGCUAAGAAUUUAAAUGUUUGCAAUGAUAUUGUUUCAAAUCUUAGAAAUGAAAAUGUCAUGUUACAUGCUAAGAUUGAUGAGUUUAAUGUUUGCAAACCCUCUACAUCUAUCAUUGAGCAUGUAUCUAUUUGCACUAGAUGUAGAGAUGUUAAUGUCGAUGCUAUCCAUGAUCACAUUGCUAUGAUUAAACAACAAAAUGAUCACAUAGCAAAAUUAGAUGCUAAAAUUGUCGAGCAUGAAUUAGAGAAUGAAAAAUUUAAAUUUGCUCGUAGUAUGCUUUAUAGUGGGAGACGCCCUGGCAUUAAGGAUGGCAUUGGCUUCCAACAGGGAGGCAAUGUCAAGCUUAAUGCCCCUAAGAAAUUGCCUAAUUUUGUUAAGGGCAAAGCUCCCAUGGCUCAGGAUAACGAGGGUUACAUUUUAUACCAUGCCGGUUAUCCCGAGCACAAAAUUAGGAGAAUUCACUCUAGGAAGUCUCACUCUGGCUCUAAUCAUGCUUUUAUGUAUAAGAGUGAGGCAUCUAGCUCUAGGCAAUCAACCCAUGUUAAAUUACCUAAAAAGAAAUCUCCUAUAGCAUCAAAUGAACCUAAUAUUUCAUUUAAGACUUUUGAUGCUUCUUAUGUGCUCACUAACAAAUCAGGCAAAGUAGUUGCCAAAUAUGUUGGGGUCAAACACAAGGGAUCGAAGACUUGUGUUUGGGUACCCAAGGUGCUUGUUUCUAAUGUGAAAGGACCCAAGACCAUUUGGGUACCUAAGAACAAGGCCUAAAUUUGUUUUGUAGGUUUAUGCAUCCGGGGGCUCAAGUUGGAUCAUUGAUAGCGGGUGCACAAACCACAUGACUGGGGAGAAAAGGAUGUUCUCCUCCUAUGAGAAAAAACAUGAUCCCCAAAGAGCUAUCACAUUCGGGGAUGAAAAUCAAGGUUUGGUCAAAGGACUUGGUAAAAUUGCUAUAUCACCUGACCAUUCCAUUUCCAAUGUUUUUCUUGUAGAUUCUUUAGAUUAUAACUUGCUUUCAGUUUCUCAAUUAUGCAAAAUACGCUACAAUUGUAUUUUUAGGGAUAUAGGUGUUACUGUCUUUAGAAGAAGUGAUGAUUCAGUAGUGUCGGCAUUUCAAACCCGGGGGGUCCCUGGACCGACGAGUAAAUUAUCGCCGCGUGCCCCAGUCCAGAUGGAUCGGCGCGAGACGGAGCGCGAAGGGGGGAAGCAGCCGGAGGGAGACAGGCGUGAGAGGUGAAAUCCCGCGGCCUUCGUGUUUGUCCUGCGCCCAGGUCGGGUGCACUUGCAGUAGGGGGUUACAAGCGUCCACGCGGGAGGGAGCGAGCGGCCUUGCGCGAGCGCCGUCCCGUCCUUCCCCAUGCGGCCAACCCUCUCUAAGAGGGCCCUGAACCUUCCUUUUAUAGGCGUAAGGAAAGGAUCCAGGUGUACAAUGGGGGGUGUAGCAGUGUGCUAACAUGUCUAGCGGAGGAGAGCUAGCGCCCUAAGUACAUGCCAUCGUGGCAGCCGGAGAGGUUUCGGCACCCGGUUGGUGUGGUGUCGUGGCCGUCGGAGGAGCGUUGGAGCCUGGCGGAAGGACAACUGUCGGGGCUGUCGGGUCCUUGCUGACGUCCUCUUGCUUCCGUAAGGGGGCUGAGAGCCGCCGUCGUCAUAGAACAUGCGGGGCGCCAUCAUUACUUGUCUGGCGAAGCGAGCCAGAUGGGACACCGGUCCUGUUCCCCGUAGCCUGAGUCAGCUUGGGGUAGGGUAAUGAUGGCGCCUCCUGUGACGUGGUCGGUCCGAGCCCUGAGUUGGGCGAGGUGGAGGCUCCUCCGAGGUCGAAGUCGAGUCUGUCUUCCGAGGCCGAAGUCGAGUCCGAGCCCCUGGGUCGGGCGAGGCGGAGACCGUCGGCUGAGGCCAGGGCUGAGUCCGAGCCCUGGGGUCGGGCGAAGCGGAGUUCGUCUCUUCCGGGGCUGAGCCCGAGUCCGAGCCCUGGGGUCGGGCGAAGCGGAGUUCGUUUCUUCCGGGGCUGAGCCCGAGUCCGAGCCCUGGGGUCGGGCGAAGCGGAGUUCGUCAUCUUCUGGGGCUGAGCCCGAGUCCGAGCCCUGGGGUCGGGCAAAGCGGAGUUCGUCGUCUUCCGGGGCUGAGCCCGAGUCCGAGCCCUGGGGUCGGGCGAAGUGGAGUUCGUCGUCUUCUGGGGCUGAGCCCGAGUCCGAGCCCUGGAGUCGGGCAAAGCAGAGUUUCCUAUGGCGCCUGAGGCCGGACUUGGCUGCUGUCAGCCUCACUCUGUCGAGUGGCACGGUAGUCGGAGCGGCGCAGGCGGCGCUGUCCUCUUGUCAGGCCUGUCAGUGGAGCGGCGAAGUGACUACGGUCACUUCGGCUCUGUCAACUGGAGGACGCGCGUCAGGAUAAAGGUGUCAGGCCACCUUUGCAUUAAAUGCCCCUACGAUUUGGUCGGUUGGCGUGGCGAUUUGGUCAAGGUUGCUUCUUGGUGAAGACUGGGCCUCGGGCGAGCCGAAGGUGUGUCCGUUGCUGGAGGGGGUCCUCGGGCGAGACGUAGAUCCUCCGGGGUCGGCUGCCCUUGCCCGAGGCUGGGCUCGGGCGAGGCGGGAUCGUGUCCCUUGAAUGGACCGAUCCUUGACUUAAUCGCACCCAUCAGGCCUUUGCAGCUUUGUGCUGAUGGGGGUUACGAGCUGAGAUUUAGGAGUCUUGAGGGUACCCCUAAUUAUGGUCCCCGACAGUAGCCCCCGAGCCUCGAAGGGAGUGUUAAUACUCGCUUGGAGGCUUUUGUCGCACUUUUUUGCAAGGGGACCAGCCUUUCUCGGUUGCGUCUUGUUCUGGUGGGUGCGCGCGAGCGCACCCGCCGGGUGUAGCCCCCGAGGCCUCGGAGGAGUGGUUUGGCUCCUUCGAGGUCUUAAUGCAUUUUGUAAUGUUUCGGCAGGUCUGGUCGUUCCCUCAUGCGAGCUGGCCGUAGCCCGGGUGCACGGUCGGGUCCCAAGUUCUCGGGCUGGUAUGUUGACGCUGUCAACGGUUUGGCCGGAGCCGAGUUUGCGAGAGCAGCCCCCGAGCCUCCGCACAGGGCGAGAGGAUGGUCAAGGACAGACUCGACUUUUUUACAUACGCCCCUGCGUCGCCUUUCCACAAGGAGGAGGGGGAGAGCUCCAUGUUGCCCUUGGAGGGCGCCGAACAUGGUGUCUCCAGCGAGCUGCUGACGGGUAAUCCGAGUGGACGCCCGUGCCCCAUUUGUUAGGGGUCGGCUAGAGGCCCGGAGGCGCGCUCCAAAAGUACCUGCGGGUGAUCUUCCGGACCCGGUCCCCUUUUGAUGGGGUCCGAGGGCUCGAUGCCUCCCUCUGAUGGGAUUCCGUUACAAGAUCGUUCCCGCUGGUCUCGGAAAUGUCCUAGGGUACCUCGGGAGCGUAGCCCGAGCCUUGGUUAUGUAUCGAACGUACCCAGGGUCAUCCCUCGCUCUGCGUCUGAGGCGGCUGUGAACCCUUCGUGGGCCAGCCUACGAACCCCUAAUCAGUAGUGGGCGCGGAGCCCGAGUGGCCUGAGGCGGCCGUUGAACCCUUCCGAGGGGCCGGCCCUCGAACCUCUGACCAGUAGUGGGCGCGGAGCCCGAGCGCUCUGAGGCGGCUGUUGAACCCCUCUGAGGGGCCAGCCUUCGAACCUCUGAUCAGUAGGGGGGCUCGGGGUCCGUUUCCUUCGCGGAGAAGGAUCCCUUUCGGGGUAUCCCCCUUUCCCGGUCCCUGUUGUAAGAGAGAGAAAGAGGAAAGGGGAGAGAAUACGAAAUCGAGAUGAUGUGGCGCACCUUUUUGACGCGGUCAUUAUGGCGAAGGCGAAGCGUCGCUCGCUUCUCCUGCCAAAGGCGCCGCCUGUCCCGCCGCGGAGUUAAUGCGACGGGGUGAGUGGUUUGCGGGGCAGCCGUUGCGCGUGCGCGGUCCGUUCGAGGAACGGAACACGGGCGCGUCGUCUUCACACCGUGAGAGAGGGUUCUCUCGCUGUCCCACGAGGUGACGUGAGCUUGGCUGACGACGUGACCGCUGCUUCUGCCCGCCUGCCACCGCCAUUACUGCCGGCCCAUUUUUGGCUGCAUCGACCGUCUCGCCUUCUCCUGCGGCUGACUGGCCCGUGACCGAUGCGUCUGGCUAGCACUGUUGGGUCGUACGCAGAGUUGCCUCGAGUCGCGGUACUAGUUCCGCAGUCGAGGAGGCGCGGUAGUGGCACGAGUGGCGGUGCAGUUGCUCGCACGUAGCAACCGGCGCGCCGGUUGCAUGACGUGUGAGCCUAGGCCUCCAUGCUGGGCGCGUUGGAGUCGAAGGGGUGCGCCCACUUGGCGCGGUUGCAUGCCGACUGCAUGGUUGUCCGCCCUUUCACCCGCUGGUCUGGGCGAAAGUGGAGGAAUGCUUGUAACCGCUGGGCAGUUGCGUGUACCGCGCGCGGCGGUUUGGCUUCUUCUGCCCUGGGCCAGCUUGCAUGACGCGUGGGACCCAGCCCCCGUGUCGUAGGGGGAGGACCUUGGAGCGUGUUGGAGAAGACUCAGCCCUUGAUGGCUGAGGACGCAGGUGGGAAGAGUCGCCUUUAAAAGGAGGGUGAUCCCCUUGAAAGGCGACCAUGUCUUCGCACUCCCUUAUGCAUCGCGUCUUUCCACCUUCCGAGCCCCCGGAUGGGGAACACCCGCAAUCCUUCCACCUUGUCGUUGGAGGAACGCAACUUCGUGGAAGUUGGUACCUUUCAGCCAUCGUUCGGUUUCAAGGAUUUUCAUUAUGCAGCCCGGCCGCAUCCCCUCGCCGGCGGUCACCCAAGACGGUGACCACCAGCCCCUGGGUGGGGAGAAGCAAGCCGGGCUGCGAUCUUGGUCCCGCCCUCAGCUUCAAGGAUGUUCAUCAUCCUUGCUGGGGCGGAGGCCGGGCUGAGCCGGAGCUCUACCUCCCGCGCGGGUUCGUCGGUCAGCCUCUCCUUCAGCAUUUUUGGCACGGAGCCUGAACAUGUAUGUAUUUAUUUUUGGCACGGAGCCUGAACAUGCAAUGUCUUGUUCAUUGCGGCUGUCGGGGCCUGAACAUGUAUGUAUUUUUGGCACGGAGCCGUGUUUUUUCCUCAUUUUGAGCACUAAGACUCGCCUGUCGACUAUCUGAACCGCUUCACCAAGCGUGAGUCGCCUCGUGCAAAGGUGACGAGUGAGGUAUCCGUAUCCCGGAGGCGUAGGAGUCCCUCGGCUCGGUCGGCCUUGUCGUCCGAGGCUUCUCUUGCUUAGUUAAAGGAAACCCUCGGCCGCUCUUCGAUGAGCCUGAAAGUCGCCUAGAGGGGGGGUGAAUAGGGCGAAACUGAAAUUCUAAAAAAUAAUCACAACUACAAGCCGGGUUAGCGUUAGAAAUAUGAUAGAGUCCGCGAGAGAGGGUGCAAAACAAAUCGCAAGCGAAUAAUGAAGUGAGACACACAGAUUUGUUUUACCGAGGUUCGGUUCUCUCAAACCUACUCCCCGUUGAGGAGGCCACAAAGGCCGGGUCUCUUUCAACCCUUCCCUCUCUCAAACGGUCCCUCAGACCGAGUGAGCUUCUCUUCUCAAAUCACAUGGGAAUCAAAACUUCCCGCAAGGACCACCACACACUUGGUGUCUCUUGCCUCAAUUACAAGUGAGUGUUUGAUCACAAGAAAGAAUGACAAAGAAAAGAAGCGAUCCAAGUGCAAGAGCUCAAAUGAACACUACAAAUCACUCUCACUAGUCACUAAGGCUUUGUGUGGAGUUGAGAGAGGAUUUGAUCCUUUUUGGUGUGCUUUGCAAUGAAUGCUAGCUCCUGUAUAGUGGUUGGAAGCUGGAAAACUUGGAUGCAAUGAAUGGUGAGGUGGUUGGGGUAUUUAUAGCCUCAACCACCAAACUAGCCGUUUGCAGAGGCUGUCUGUUCGAUGGCGCACCGGACAGUCCGGUGCACACCGGACAUGUCCGGUGCGACAGCCACGUCACCAAAAGCCAUUGGGUUCGACCGUUGGAGCUCUGUCUUCUGGGCCCGCCUUGAUGUCCGGUGGCGCACCGGACAUGUACUGUAGAGUGUCCGGUGCGCCAGCAUGGGCGUGCCUGACCUCUGCGCGCGCUGGCGCGCAUUUAUUACGUCGCAGGUAGCCGUUGGCGCCUGAAGUAGCCGUUACCCCGCUGUUGCACCGGACAGUCCGGUGUACACCGGACAGUCCGGUGAAUUAUAGCGGAGUGGCCGAAGUGAAUUUCCGAGACUGGCGAGUUCCGGAGGCCGCUCUUCCUUGGAGCACCGGACACUGUCCGGUGUACACCGGACAGUCCGGUGAAUUAUAGCGGAGUCGCCUCUGGAAUUUCCUGAAGGUGAGCAGUUCGGAGUUGGAGUCCUCUGGUGCAUCGGACAUGUCCGGUGGCACACCGGACAGUCCGGUGCGCCAGACCAGAGGUGCCUUCGGUUGACCCUUGUUCCUUUGUUUGAACCCAAUACUUGGUCUUUUUAUUGGCUAAGUGUGAACCUUUGGCACCUGUAUAACUUAUAUACUUGAGCAAACUAGUUAGUCUAAAUAUUUGUGUUGGGCAAUUCAACCACCAAAAUUAAUUAGGGACUAGGUGUAAGCCUAAUUCCCUUUCAAUCUCCCCCUUUUUGGUGAUUGAUGCCAACACAAACCAAAGCAAAUGUAGAAGUGCAUAAUUGAACUAGUUUGCAUAAUGUAAGUGCAAAGGUUGCUUAGAGUUGAGCCAAUAAAUAUCACUUACUAGAUAUGCAUGGAUUGUUUCUUUAUAUUAACAUUUUGGACCACGCUUGCACCACAUGUUUUGUUUUUGCAAAUUCUUUUGUGAAUCCUUUUCAAAGUUCUUUUGCAAAUAGUCAAAGAUAAAUGAAUAAGAUUUUACAAAGCAUUUUCAAGAUUUGAAAUUUUCUCCCCCUGUUUCAAAUGCUUUUCCUUUGACUAAACAAAACUCCCCCUAAAUGAGAUCCUCCUCUUAGUGUUCAAGAGGGUUUUGAUGUAUCAUUUUUGAAAUACUACUUCCUCCCCCUUUUGAACAUAAUAAGAUACCAAUUUGAAAUUGAUCAAUUGAAAAUCUCCAAUUUUAAAAAUUAGGUGGUGGUGCAGUCCUUUUGCUUUGGGCUCAUAUUUUCUCCCCCUUUGGCAUGAAUCGCCAAAAACGGAAUCAUUAGAGCCCGUAGGAGUACUUUCUCCUCCUUUGGUCAUAAAAUAAAUGAGGGAAGAUUAUACCAAAGUUGGAGAGUGAUGCGGAGCGACGGCGAAGGAUGAGUAGUAGAGUGGAGUGGAAGCCUUGUCUUCGCCGAAGACUCCAAUUCUCUUUCAAUAUAUCUAUGACUUGGUUUGAAAUAGACUUGAAAACACAUUAGUCAUAGAAAAAAGAGACAUGAUCAAAGGUAUACUCAUGAGCUAUGUGUGCAAAUUAGCAAAAGAAAUUUCUCGAAUCAAGAAUAUUGAGCUCAUGCCUAAGUUUGGUAAAGGAUUGUUCAUCAAGUGGCUUGGUAAAGAUAUCGACUAAUUGAUCUUUAGUGUUAAUGUAUGAAAUCUCGAUAUCCCCCUUUUGUUGGUGAUCCCGAAGAAAAUGAUACCGAAUGGCUAUGUGUUUAGUGCAGCUAUGCUCAACAGGAUUAUCCGCCAUGCGGAUUGCACUCUCAUUAUCACAUAGAAGGGGAACUUUGGUUAAUUUGUAACCAUAGUCCCGCAGGGUUUGCCUCAUCCAAAGCAAUUGCGCGCAACAAUGGCCUGCGGCAAUAUACUCAGCUUCGGCGGUAGAAAGAGCGACCGGAUUUUGCUUCUUUGAAGCCCAAGACACCAAGGAUCUUCCCAAGAACUGGCAAGUCCCCGAUGUGCUCUUUCUAUUAAUCUUACACCCCGCCCAAUCGGCAUCCGAAUAUCCAAUCAAAUCAAAUGUGGAUCCCCGAGGGUACCAAAGCCCAAACUUAGGAGUAUAAGCAAAAUAUCUUAAGAUUCGUUUUACGGCCGUAAGGUGGGAUUCCUUAGGGUCGGAUUGGAAUCUUGCACACAUGCAAACGGAAAGCAUAAUGUCCGGUCGAGAUGCACAUAAAUAAAGCAAUGAACCAAUCAUCGACCGGUAUACCUUUUGAUCCACGGACUUACCUCCUGUGUCGAGGUCGAGAUGCCCAUUGGUUCUCAUGGGUGUCUUGAUGGGCUUGGCAUCCUUCAUUCCAAACUUGGUUAGAAUGUCUUGAGUGUACUUUGUUUGGCUAAUGAAGGUGCCCUCUUGGAGUUGCUUGACUUGGAAUCCUAGAAAAUACUUCAACUCCCCCAUCAUCGACAUCUCGAAUUUUUGUGUCAUGAUCCUACUAAAUUCUUCACAAGUAGAUUCGUUAGUAGACCCAAAUAUGAUAUCAUCAACAUAAAUUUGGCAUACGAACAAAUCAUUGUCAAAAGUUUUAGUGAACAAAGUAGGAUCGGCCUUGCCGACUUUGAAGCCAUUAGUAAUAAGGAAAUCUCUAAGGCAUUCAUACCAUGCUCUUGGGGCUUGCUUGAGCCCAUAAAGCGCCUUAGAGAGCUUAUAGACAUGGUUAGAAUACUCACUGUCUUCAAAGCCGGGAGGUUGCUCAACGUAGACCUCUUCCUUGAUUGGUCCAUUGAGGAAGGCACUCUUCACGUCCAUUUGGUAAAGCUUGAAGCCAUGGUAAGUAGCAUAGGCCAAUAAUAUACGAAUUGACUCAAGCCUAGCUACGGGUGCAUAGGUUUCACCAAAAUCCAAACCUUCGACUUGUGAAUACCCCUUGGCCACGAGUCGAGCUUUGUUCCUUGUCACCACACCAUGCUCGUCUUGCUUGUUGCGGAAGACCCACUUGGUUCCUACAACAUUUUGAUUAGGACGUGGAACUAAAUGCCAUACCUCGUUCCUCGUGAAAUUGUUGAGCUCCUCUUGCAUCGCCAUCACCCAAUCUGAAUCUUGGAGUGCUUCCUCUACCCUGUGUGGCUCAAUAGAGGAAACAAAAGAGUAAUGCUCACAAAAAUGUGCAACAUGAGAUCGAGUGGUUACCCCCUUAUGAAUGUCGCCAAGAAUGGUGUCGACGGGGUGAUCUCGUUGGAUUGCUUGGUGGACUCUUGGGUGUGGCGGCCUUGGUUGUUCAUCCUCCUUGUCUUCAUCAUUUACAUCUCCCCCUUGAUCAUUGUCGUCAUCUUGAGGUGGCUCAUUUAUUUGAUCUUCCCUUUCAUCAACUUGAGCCUCGUCCUUAUUUUGAGUUGGUGGGGAUGCUUGCAUGGAGGAGGAUGGUUGAUCUUGUGCAUUUGGAGGCUCUUUAGAUUCCUUAGGACAUACAUCCCCAAUGGACAUGUUCCUUAGCGCGAUGCACGGUGCCUGUUCUUCACCUAUCUCAUCAAGAUCAACUUGCUCUACUUGAGAGCCAUUAGUCUCAUCAAACACAACGUCACAAGAAACUUCAACAAGUCCUGAGGACUUGUUAAAGACUCUAUAUGCCCUUGUGUUUGAGUCAUAUCCUAGUAAAAAGCCUUCUACAGUUUUAGGAGCAAAUUUAGAUUUUCUACCUCUCUUAAUAAGAAUAAAGCAUUUGCUACCAAAAACUCUAAAAUAUGAAAUAUUUGGCUUUUUACCGGUUAGGAGUUCAUAGGAUGUCUUCUUGAGGAUUCGGUGUAGAUAUAACCGGUUGAUGGCGUAGCAGGCGGUGUUGACCGCCUUGGCCCAAAACCGAUCCGAUGUCUUGUACUCAUCAAGCAUGGUUCUUGCCAUGUCCAAUAGAGUUCGAUUCUUCCUCUCCACUACACCAUUUUGUUGUGGAGUGUAGGGAGAAGAGAACUCGUGCUUGAUCCCCUCCUCCUCAAGGAAGCCUUCAAUUUGAGAGUUCUUGAACUCCGUCCCGUUGUCGCUUCUAAUUUUCUUGAUCCUCAAGCCGAACUCAUUUUGAGCCCGUCUCAAGAAUCCCUUUAAGGUUUCUUGGGUAUGAGAUUUUUCCUGCAAAAAGAACACCCAAGUGAAGCGAGAAUAAUCAUCCACAAUAACUAGACAGUACUUACUCCCACCGAUGCUUAUGUAAGCGAUCGGGCCGAAUAGGUCCAUGUGUAGGAGCUCCAGUGGCCUGUCACUAGUCAUGAUGUUUUUGUGUGGAUGAUGGGAACCAACUUGCUUUCCUGCUUGGCAUGCGCUACAAAUCCUGUCUUUCUCAAAAUGAACAUUUGUUAGUCCCAAAAUAUGUUCUCCCUUUAGAAGCUUAUGAAGAUUCUUCAUUCCAACGUGGGCUAGUCGGCGAUGCCAGAGCCAACCCAUGUUAGUCUUAGCAAUUAAGCAUGUGUCGAGUUCAGCUCUAUCAAAAUCUACCAAGUAUAGCUGACCCUCUAACACACCCUUAAAUGCUAUUGAAUCAUCACUUCUUCUAAAGACAGUGACACCUACAUCAGUAAAGAGACAAUUGUAGCCCAUUUGACAUAAUUGGGAUACGGAAAGCAAAUUGUAAUCUAAAGAAUCUACAAGAAAAACUUUGGAAAUGGAAUGGUCAGGAGAUAUAGCUAUUUUACCCAAACCUUUGACCAAACCUUGGUUUCCAUCCCCGAAUGUGAUAGCUCGUUGGGGAUCUUGGUUUUUCUCAUAUGAGGAGAACAUCUCUGACCAAACCUUGGUUUCCAUCCCCGAAUGUGAUAGCUCGUUGGGGAUCUUGGUUUUUCUCAUAUGAGGAGAACAUCUUCUUCUCCCAUGUCAUGUGGUUUGUGCACCCGCUGUCGAGUAUCCAACUUGAGCCCCCCGGAUGCGUAAACCUACAAAACAAUUUUAGUUCUUGACUUUAGGUACCCAAACGGUUUUGGGUCCUUUGGCAUUAGAAACAAGAACUUUGGGUACCCAAACACAAGUCUUGGAGCCCUUGUGAUUGCCCCCAAUAAACUUGGCAACUACUUUGCCGGAUUUGUUAGUCAAAACAUAAGAUGCAUCAAAAGUUUUAAAUGAAAUGCUAUGAUCAUUUGAUGCAAUAGGAGUUUUCUUUCUAGGCAACUUAGCACGGGUUGGUUGCCUAGAGCUAGAUGUCUCACCCUUAUACAUAAAAGCAUGGUUAGAGCCAGAGUGAGACUUCCUAGAAUGAGUUCUCCUAAUUUUGCUCUCGGGAUAACCGGCAGGGUACAAAAUGUAACCCUCGUUAUCCUGAGGCAUGGGAGCCUUGCCCUUAACAAAGUUAGACAAGUUCUUAGGAGGGGCAUUAAGUUUAACAUUGUCUCCCCUUUGGAAUCCAAUGCCAUCCUUGAUGCCAGGGCGUCUCCCAUUAUAGAGCAUACUUCUAGCAAAUUUAAAUUUUUCAUUUUCUAAGUUUUGCUCGGCAAUUUUAGCAUCUAAUAGUGCUAUAUGAUCAUUUUGUUGUUUAAUUAAGACCAUAUGAGCAUGAAUAGCAUCAACAUCAAUAUCUCUACAUCUAGUACAAAUAGAAACACGCUCAACCUUAGAUGUAGAGGGUUUGCAAGAUUUUAAUUCAACAACCUUAGCAUGUAAUACAUCAUUCUCACUUCUAAGGUUGGAAAUAGUAACAUUGCAAACAUCAAAAUCUUUAGCCUUAGCAAUCAAAUUUUCAUUUUCUAUUCUAAGGCUAGCAAGAGAAUCAUUCAAUUCCUUAAUCUUAGCAAGCAAAUCAUCAUUAUCAUUACUAAGAUUGGGAAUUGAGGCAUUACAAACAUGUGAAUCAACCUUAGCAAUCAAUUUAGCAUUUUCACUUCUAAGGUUGGCAAUAGUGUCAUGGCAUGUGCUUAGCUCACUAGAUAAUUUGUCACAUUUUUCUACCUCUAGAGCAUAAGCAUUUUUAACCUUAACAUGUUUUUUGUUUUCCUUAAUAAGGAAGUCUUCUUGAGAGUCCAAGAGAUCAUCCUUCUCAUGAAUAGCACUAAUUAGUUCAUUUAAUUUUUCCUUUUGUUGCAUGUUAAGAUCGGCAAAAAGGGUACGCAAAUUAUUCUCCUCAUCACUAGCAUUAUCAUCACUAGAGGAUUCAUAUUUAGUGGAGGAUUUAGAUUUAACCUUCUUCUUUUUGCCGUCCUUUGCCAUGAGGCACUUGUGGCCGACGUUGGGGAAGAGGAGUCCCUUGGUGACGGCGAUGUUGGCGGCGUCCUCGUCGGAGGAGGACUCGGUGGAGCUCUCGUCGGAGUCCCACUCCCGGCAAACAUGGGCAUCGCCGCCCUUCUUCUUGUAGUACUUCUUCUUUUCUCUCCUCUUUCCCUUCUUGUCGUCGCCCCUGUCACUGUCACUAGAUAUAGGACAUUUUGCAAUAAAAUGACCGGGCUUACCACACUUGUAGCACACUUUCUUGGAGCGGGGUUUGUAGUCCUUCCCCCUCCGUUGCUUGAGGAUUUGGCGAAAGCUUUUGAUGAUUAAAGCCAUCUCCUCAUUGUCGAGCUUGGAGGCGUCAAUUGGUUGUCUACUUGGUGUAGACUCCUCCUUCUUUUCCUCCGUCGCCUUAAAUGCCACCGGUUGCGCCUCGGACGUGGAGGGUUCGUCAAGCUCGUUGAUCUUCUUUGAGCCUUUAAUCAUGCAUUCAAAGCUCACAAAAUUCCCGAUAACUUCCUCGGGAGUCAUUAGUGUGUAUCUAGGAUUACCACGAAUUAAUUGAACUUGAGUAGGGUUAAGGAAAAUAAGUGAUCUCAAAAUAACCUUAACUACUUCGUGGUCAUCCCAUUUCUUGCUCCCGAGGUUGCGCACUUGGUUCACCAAGGUUUUGAGCCGGUUGUACAUAUCUUGUGGCUCCUCCCCUUGGCGAAGACGGAAGCGACCGAGCUCCCCCUCGAUCGUUUCCCGCUUGGUGAUCUUGGUGAGUUCAUCACCCUCGUGCGCGGUCUUGAGUAGGUCCCAAAUCUCCUUUGCAUUCUUCAACCCUUGCACCUUGUUGUAUUCCUCCUUGCUUAGAGAGGCGAGGAGUAUGGUUGUAGCUUGUGAGUUGAAGUGCUCGAUUUAGGCCACUUCGUCCGUAUCAUAGUCUUCAUCCCCUACGGAUGGUACCUGUGCUCCAAACUCAACAACAUUCCAUAUACUUUUGUGGAGUGAGGUUAGAUGAAAUUUCAUUAAAUCACUCCACCUAGCAUAAUCUUCGCCAUCAAAAGUUGGCGGUUUGCCUAAUGGAACGGAAAGUAAAGGAGUAUGUCUAGAUGUACGAGGAUAGUGUAAGGGGAUCUUACUAAACUUCUUGCGCUCUUGGCGCUUAGAAGUUACGGACGGCGCAUCAGAGUCGGAGGUAGAUGUUGAUGAAGUGUCGGUCUCGUAGUAGACCACUUUCCUCAUCCUCUUGUGCUUGUCGCCUUUCCGAUGCGACUUGUGGGAAGAAGAUUUUUCCUUCUUCUCUUUGUGGUGAGAAGAAGAAGAUCUUUUCUCCUUCCGCUUGGAGGAGUUCUUCUUCUUCUCCUUCCUCUUGGUGUGGGACUCUUCCGAUGAAGUGCUCCCUUGGCUCGUAGUGGGCUUGUCGCCGGUCUACAUCUCCCUCUUGGUGUGAUCUCCCGACAUCACUUCGAGCGGUUAGGCUCUAAUGAAGCACUGGGUUCUGAUACCAAUUGAAAGUCGCCUAGAGGGGGGGUGAAUAGGGCGAAACUAAAAUUCUCAAAAAUAAUCACAACUACAAGCCGGGUUAGCGUUAGAAAUAUGAUAGAGUCCGCGAGAGAGGGUGCAAAACAAAUCGCAAGCGAAUAAUGAAGUGAGACACGCGGAUUUGUUUUACCGAGGUUCGGUUCUCUCAAACCUACUCCCCGUUGAGGAGGCCACAAAGGCCGGGUCUCUUUCAACCCUUCCCUCUCUCAAACGGUCCCUCGGACCGAGUGAGCUUCUCUUCUCAAAUCACAUGGGAAUCAAAACUUCCCGCAAGGACCACCACACACUUGGUGUCUCUUGCCUCAAUUACAAGUGAGUGUUUGAUCACAAGAAAGAAUGACAAAGAAAAGAAGCGAUCCAAGUGCAAGAGCUCAAAUGAACACUACAAAUCACUCUCACUAGUCACUAAGGCUUUGUGUGGAGUUGAGAGAGGAUUUGAUCCUUUUUGGUGUGCUUUGCAAUGAAUGAUAGCUCCUGUAUAGUGGUUGGAAGCUGGAAAACUUGGAUACAAUGAAUGGUGAGGUGGUUGGGGUAUUUAUAGCCUCAACCACCAAACUAGCCGUUUGCAGAGGCUGUCUGUUCGAUGGCGCACCGGACAGUCCGGUGCACACCGGACAUGUCCGGUGCGACAGCCACGUCACCAAAAGCCGUUGGGUUCGACCGUUGGAGCUCUGUCUUCUGGGCCCGCCUUGAUGUCCGGUGGCGCACCGGACAUGUACUGUAGAGUGUCCGGUGCGCCAGCAUGGGCGUGCCUGACCUCUGCGCGCGCUGGUGCACAUUUAUUACGUCGCAGGUAGCCGUUGGCGCCUGAAGUAGCCGUUACCCCGCUGUUGCACCGGACAGUCCGGUGUACACCGGACAGUCCGGUGAAUUAUAGCGGAGUGGCCGAAGUGAAUUCUCGAGACUGGCGAGUUCCGGAGGCCGCUCUUCCUUGGAGCACCGGACACUGUCCGGUGUACACCGGACAGUCCGAUGAAUUAUAGCGGAGUCGCCUCUGGAAUUUCCUGAAGGUGAGCAGUUCGGAGUUGGAGUCCUCUGGUGCACCGGACAUGUCCGGUGGCACACCGGACAGUCCGGUGCGCCAGACCAGAGGUGCCUUCGGUUGACCCUUGUUCCUUUGUUUGAACCCAAUACUUGGUCUUUUUAUUGGCUAAGUGUGAACCUUUGGCACCUGUAUAACUUAUAUACUUGAGCAAACUAGUUAGUCUAAAUAUUUGUGUUGGGCAAUUCAACCACCAAAAUUAAUUAGGGACUAGGUGUAAGCCUAAUUCCCUUUCAGAGCCAAAGCCGGAGGUAGCGGCGUCAGCACGGACAGAGGCAGAGUUGGCUCAAAAAGAGGAUUUGGUCGGUCGGAGCCUGGCCGGGUCGUCCACUGGCGGGACCGACGCCGGAGUUGAGUUACCGAGGCCACAAACCGAGCUGAUGUCCUCGGGGGACAGCUGGCUAAGGCUUCGGGGUGACCGGCCCGAGCCAUCUGCUCGAGUCGGAUUCCUGGAGAAGGCCCUGGCAGCGAUGGCCCGGGCGUGGUGCUGAUGUCGUCCUUCAGAGUGGAGAUCCUCCGACCGCGUCGCCGUCUGAGGCUAGGUCGGGCCUCGCCGAAGGUGUAGUUGACACCGAGGGUGCUGCUGCUCCCUUCACUGUCAAGAUCCGAGCCUGCAGGAUCGGAUUAUCUUGUAGUGUGUGUAUGUUUUCCGCGGCCGCCGAGGCCCAAACACACCAUCAUCGUGUUGUAAAGCUGCGUUUCUUUUCCCCUUAUUUCGAGUAUCUGGACUUAUUUAUCGGUAACAGAAUUUGUUUGUGCGAGCGAGAGUUACUUUUCACGGAAGGUGAUGAGUGAGGUAUCCGUAUCUCAGAGGCGUAGGAAUCCCUCGGCUCGGUCGGCCUUGCCGCUUACGCGCACUCUUACUCGUCCAUAGGGUUCUGUCACCGACGUAGUCGAGAAGGCCCGAAAAAUCAUUUCGGCAGAGGAGCUUUCGAGCGUGAAGACUUGUUCGGUCCGCGGAAUCACCUAUCCGAGCGCGAGUUACUUAUCGCAGAAGGUGAUGAGUGAGGUAUCCGUAUCCUGGAGGCGUAGGAGUCCCUCGGCUCGGUCAGCCUUGACUGCUUACGUGUACUCCGUCGUUUUCAGGAUCCACUUUCGGAGUAACCGAAAAGCACGAAAGACAUUCUGGCGGAAAAGAUCUUUUUCCGAGGAAAAUUUUGAUGCAGAGGGGGUUCCCCCCUUUUAGCCCCCGAGGGAGGGUCGGGCUUUGCCGAGGCAAGGCUGACCCUUCCUUGAUGACUAAACUUUGCGUGGGAACGAGGUAUACGAACAACUUGAAAGCAUCUUAAGGGUAGAAGUGACGUAGCUGUUGUAUGUUCCAAGCGUUGUUGUAGACCUCGCCUUGACUGUUGGCCAGCUUGUAUGUUCCGAGCUUCAGAACCUUGGUGACGACGAACGACCCUUCCCAGGGAGGCGUGAGCUUGUGCCGCCCUCGGGCGUCUUGUCGCAGCCGAAGCACCAGGUCGCCCACCUGAAGGUCUCGGGACCGAACCCCUCGGGCGUGGUAGCGUCGCAGGGACUGCUGGUACCGCGUCGAGUGUAGUAAGGCCAUGUCCUGAGCCUCUUCCAGCUGGUCCAGUGAGUCUUCUCGAUUAGCUUGAUUGCUUUGGUCAGCGUAGGCCCUCGUCCUCAGGGAACCGUAUUCUAAGUCUGUGGGCAAGACGGCUUUGGCCCCAUAGACUAGAAAGAACGGUGUGAAGCCCGUGGCUCGGCUCGGCGUUGUCCUCAAACUCCAGACCUCUGAGGGGAGUUCCUUCAUCCAUCGCUUGCCGAACUUGUUGAGGUCGUUGUAGAUCUGCGGCUUGAGUCCUUGCAGGAUCAUGCUGUUGGCACGCUCUACUUGCCCAUUCGUCAUGGGGUGAGCCACGGCGGCCCACUCUACCCGGAUGUGGUGAUCCUCGCAGAAGUCUAGGAACUUUCUGCCGGUGAACUGGGUGCCGUUGUCGGUGAUGAUGGAGUUCGGGACCCCAAAGCUGUGACAGAACCUCCCAAGUAAUUAGGCCCACCUACAGUUGUCCUUGUCCAACGGACAUCAGACAACCCUGUAGGUGCCCCUGAACUACUUGACAAGCUCGGUAUCUUUCCUUACCUUACCAGGAACGUCUCACCCGUCUUGCAGACAUUACAGAACAUCGGAGAUAUGCGGAAGCAGUUACAUAAACUUACAUUUAUUUCAAAAGCAAGCUUGAGUUAUGUUAUUACAGACCAGACUAAACGUGAGUGCAGAGUAGUAAUAUUAUACAAACCAGGGGAGGCACAAACUCCUCCCGAUAAGUUUAACAAAAGAUCCUAAGUGGAGGACCGAAUCCUCCCGCACUUCAGUCUUCUUUUUCCUCGUUUGAUACCACCUUGGAGCAGAAGCAACAAAAGUUUGUCGCUUCCUCACCUAAAAACAACAAAGGGAUAAACCCUGAGUAUGGAAUACUCAGCAAGUCUUACCCGACUAAGGAAAAGACUCUCAAGGGUAUGCUGGAUAAGUAGGAGUCAAGGAGAGGCUUUAGCAAAAAUCAACUUAUAGUUUUGCAGAAGAAGCUUACUAAAGUGAGUCCUUACUUUCCAUCUUUUAAUGCCAUCUUAAGUAUUAAUAGACUCUAUUUGCAUCUAGUCUAAUUUCACAUCCAAUCAAGACAACAUUAGUUUUAUCCAUAGUGUUCACAUCCUGACUGUAGGUUGUAGAAAAGUGACCAAGUCUUCAUAACCGCGAAGGUACGGCGAUCCGAAUCGAUUAUACUCAGCUGAGGAUCUCCAAUCACACGACAUAUGUAGCACUUAACCCUUGCAUAUGUCAACCCGCCACCGGGGUUCUUAAGACCGGAUCAGGUUCACGCAAACCGAGAGCACAGAUACACCACCGUCCAGCCUCUUGCCACGGAGGGUACACGCUACUCUCGCCACCGCUCCACGCCCAUUUCGUGUUAUCUUAUUCCGACCUUAGUCUGCCCGAGGCAAGGCUUACCCAUGACGAGGCAUGUGACCAGUUAAAGGGUCCUCGGUCAGCACGCCUACAUACGCGUUAAUCCUUAACCAACUUGGGUAGAACAUCACCUGUUCCUAACCCAAGUCUCAAUUUAAGUAUUUCCAUCCUUAGGAUUGUGUCUGUUCCUUAGGAUGAAAGAGCAUCACAGGGAACUUUGCAGUAAGAUCCCACUUUUGCUCCAAAUGAAAAUAUUCUUGCAGGUAGAAGCCAUCCUCUCCAUGGUUAAAUUGAGGACAACUUCUAUCCACAAGAUCUAAGCAAGUCUAAGCAUUUUUGUAAAUCAUAUUUUGAUACUUCACAGAAGUAUCUAUAAAGGUAUGGAUAUCAAGGAAAGCAAUGCAUCAAAGGGUUUCAAGUAACUCCUAUGAACCUAAUGCACAUUUCACUAGACUUAAGUGUGCAAAAAGUAUUUAAAAACACAAGGAAAGGGGUGGCAUGCACCGGGGCUUGCCUUCGUUCACAGGUGAAUCAGGCUCAGAUCCACAGAUGUCAAAGUAGAAAUGAUUCCCGGCCUAAGACUCCGAAGGUGGUGGUGUCUCCUCUUCGGUAACUUCGAUUUCUUCCUCACGUUCUAAUCAUAACCAUACAUAUGUAUAAGAAUGGAUGCCAUGGGAUGCUCAUGAGGAUGCAAAGAUAGCAUAAACUUAUUAUUUAUGUCUUGAAUACAACUUUCCUUCACGGAGUUCCGGAGUCGGUAAAGGAGUUCAUAGGGCGGGGGGGGGGGGGGUGUUUUGGGGUUUGGUGAUCAAACAAGGUCCAAAUCAAUUCAAACUCUACCCAAGGCUUCUAAAUAGUGUAUAACACUCAUAUAAAAAUUUUGGGCAUUUUUGGACUUACCAAUUAUUUUCUAAAAAUCUAUAACCAACAUUUUUAACCACUUUAAAUACCCUAAAUUUUCUUACUUCCACUAAAAAUCACAAACUUAUUUUUAUUAAAUACUAUGGAAAAUAACAAACCUAGGAAAAUUAGUCUCAUAUUUUUAGGAUUUUUCUAAAUUUUUCUAUAAUUAUUUUGGCUCUGCUGUAAAAGAAAAAAGGAAAAUAUUCCAACAGUGAUGGGCCAGAUUCAGCCCAGCGGCCCAGUUCCAGAGGGAAAGCGCGCCCGUGCGCCCUGACGGUUUUGCAGAACGACCCCCGCGUUUUUAUCUAACAGCGAACGAGCCCUUUCACUAUUCCUGUGUGUCGCUGACCGAUCACAAAAAGGCCCCUGCGUUUCUUUCUAUUUCCGAUUGGAAGUCCACGACAGCGCUCGCGCACCGCCGUGCUCCGACGAGCAAGCAGAUCGGCCAGAAGGGACAACGGCUAGGGUUUUUGAGCAGCAGACACCAAAUUCAAGUCCUAAGGACUCUUUCCCCCCAAUCAAUUUCAUGCUUGGUGAUCUGCCAAGCUCUACCCGCGAGGACAGUGCACGGCGCGGAUAGGUGUUCGUGUUCCAAUCAAUUCAUGGCAGUUAAAUUCAAUUGGAUGGUUUGGAAAGCAUCAAGGACACACGAGAAUGUUAGAACAAGCAACAGAGCAACAUGAACUGACCUAAUUUGGGCUGGCCACGGUGAGACUUGUUUCACGGUGGCGGAGAGCGAGGUUGGGGGAAAUUCCGAAUUCGAGCAGAUGAGUGGAUGAUUGUGGCUGAUUAGCGGUGGUUAGCUAGCGAACUACCCCACGGAGCUAGACACGGGCUCAAUUUAUAGGAAGGAUGGGCGGUGGGCGCGAAUUUGGACGAGACACGCGGCGGUCGGAGGUGAAGAAGAAGCACUGGCCGCGUGAGUUCGUGGCCAACGGCGUGGCAGUAACUCCGGUGAGCCACGGAGACUUCAGAGGAGGUCACGGCGACACGGUAAAAGAGUUGAGCCACGCGGCGCACGGCCGGGAGGCGGCGGUCGACGGUGAACAUAUCCACAUCCACCGCGGUAAUGAUGGUACGGUGGCCGGAGUUGUUUAAUGGCCGAAGUUUAUCCCCGGCGGUGACCUCCAAGCGUUAUCCACACGGUCCGCACGAAUCACAGCAACGGAUCGACCACCGGCGACGACCUACCAGCGACGAGCCCGCCGCGCUGGCAACCUGAUCCACUCGGGUCUACUAGUACCAUGGCAAUCCUCAUUCAGAGCACCUGACAGCCGGAGUUGAGGGUCGAUUUUCUCCAAAUUUCACUUGGCGACUCACCCAAGUAUCUGCAUCAAAGUUGUAGUGCUACUUACCAACUACAAUUCGACUAUAGGGGCUACACUUAUUUGAGCACUGGAUCAAGGUCAAACUGGCUCUCAAACUUGGGUCUAGGCCACUGUUAGUCUGAAAUUCAGACAAUACUAGCCUGACAGCCUGACUUCAGGCUUAAUUACCUCCAAAAUUUUCUUAACAACUGUGCUCACACCUUUUAGCAAAGUUGUACUCCUAUAGUUGGGCUACAAUCUUGAUGUGGUGACCUAGGGCAAAAACCCUAUAAUUUGAAAGUGACAAAGCCCCAAAGUGGAGCCUUUAACACUAAAUUUCAGACUUGGUAUAGAACUCAAAUGAGGUCCAUUUUGCAUUUAAGUCCAAAACUUAGGGUUUGGCUUGUAAAUUCACAUAUUUGUGAACCAAAUGACUUUAUAUGUCAAAACAUAGUAGUUUUUACACUUUAGUCCAAAGGUUCAUCAUUUUUGCACAUAAGUCCCUAGGGUUUGGUUUUAGGGUUUUCUAGGGUUCCAAUUAGGGUUUCUGGUAUCUCAGGGGUACAAAAGUGAUUCAAGUUUAUUCUUAGGGUCAUUUUAUGACUUUUACCCUAAAGCUUUUUAGGUUUUCUUAACUUGGGUUAAGUUUUACCCCUUUAACCACUAUUUAGGGUUAAGUCCAUUAACCAGGGUUCCAUUUGCAAAAACAUUAAAACAAUACAACUUGUUUGAAAUUUUUGCCUAGUGAAUGCACUCUAGGUGUGUCACACAUAUGCAAUGCCAAUGCUAAUGAUGUCAUGCUCAAGUUUUAUUUAUAGUAACACCAGGGGUGUUACAUCCUUCCCCCCAUAAAAGAAUCUCGUCCCGAGAUUAAAAUCCUAGGGUAGGUAAUGGUAAAGGAAACACAUCACAUUUUUAUUUCCUUAAUUUUGGUACAAGGCAGGGGUAAUGUGGGGGUUACUUCUUUAUUACAACAGCUAUACAGGCUUUACAAUUUACAUGAGGCUAGAAAGCCUGGGAAAUUCUUAUCUAAAAAGUCUUGGGUUUCCCAUGUAGCCUCAUCUUCCGAAUGCUGGUUCCACUGUAUCUUGUAGAACUUAAGAGUCUUUCUUCGGGUGACCCUAUCCUUUUGAUCCAGAACUCGAAUAGGAUGCUCCGAGUAUGUUAAAUCUGGUUCCAGGACAACAUCAGUCACUUCAACGGUUCGAUCGGGAACCCGAAGACACUUCUUCAAUUGUGACACGUGGAACACAUUAUGCACAGUAGACAAGGUUUCGGGGAGCUGAAGUCGGUAUGCCACUGGUUCACAUUGCUCAAGCACCAGGAAUGGACCAAUGUAUCUGGGUGCAAGUUUCCCUUUUACCCCGAAACGCGAUACACCCUUCAUUGGUGAAACUUUUAAGUAGACAUAAUCGUCUACCAGAAAGCAUAAGGGUUGUCGUCGUCGGUCUGCAUAAUUCUUUUGUCGAGUCUGAGCUUUCUUCAUAUUAUGGAUAAUUCUCUGAACCUUUUCUUCGACCUCUUUCACCAUAUCAGGUCUAAAGAAGUAUCUUUCUCCAGGUUCAGACCAAUUUAGCGGAGUUCGACACCGUCGUCCAUAUAAAGCUUCAAAAGGUGCCAUCUUGAUACUUUCUUGAUAACUAUUAUUGUAUGAAAACUCCGCUAGGGGCAAACAUUCAUCCCAUUUUUGCGAGAAGUCCAGGACACAUGCCCGCAGCAUAUCUUCAAGUAUUUGGUUCACCCUCUCAGUCUGCCCACUGGUUUGAGGAUGAUAAGCCGAACUGUGGAGUAAUUUAGUACCCAAGGAGUUGUGAAGUGCUUCCCAGAACUUGGCUACAAAUUGAGGUCCACGAUCCGACACAAUGGUCUUCGGAACACCAUGCAGACUGAGAAUACAGGCAAUGUAUAAUGCUGCAUAAGUGGCUACUGUAUAUGUGACCUUGACAGGUAAGAAGUGGGCAAUCUUUGUGAGUCGAUCAACGAUAACCCAAAUAGAAUCAUACCCUUUGGCUGUCCUGGGCAGUCCCACAAUAAAGUCCAUACUGAUGUCUUCCCAUUUCCAUGUUGGGAUUGGCAAAGAUUGUAAUGGACCAGCAGUUUUCAUGUGUAUGGCCUUGACACGUCUGCAAGUGUCACACUUCGCCACAUAGCGUGCAAUUUCGAUUUUCAUCUUUGUCCACCAAUAAUGUUGCUUUAAGUCUUGAUACAUCUUAGUGCUUCCGGGAUGAAUAGAAUAGCGACUAAGAUGUGCCUCAUCAAGAAUUUGCUGGCGGAGUUCUUCGUUCUUUGGCACUACUAUGCGGUUUUUAAACCAUAUCACACCUUGAUCGUCUUCCUUGAAACACUUGGCUACUCCAGCCUUUAUCUUCUCUCGAAUGUGCUUCAUACCCAGAUUAUCCUUUUGAGCAUCAAUUAUUCUUUGCAAAAUGAUUGACUCAAGCUUUAGUUGAUUUAGAGUCCCUUGUUGGAUGAUCCCUAGGUUUAGCUUUUCCAUUUCUUGACACAAAGUGUUCUCGGAGGUCUUUGCCAUAAGACAGUGGCAGGAAGUCUUACGACUCAAUGCAUCUGCCACCACAUUGGCCUUGCCUGGGUGAUAAUGGAUCUCCAGUUCAUAGUCUUUAAUGAGCUCAAGCCAUCGUCUUUGCCUCAUAUUUAACUCUGACUGGGUGAAGAUGUACUUCAAACUUUUAUGAUCUGUAUAUAUGUGACAGAUAUUUCCCAGCAGAUAGUGACGCCAAAUCUUUAGGGCAUGAACCACAGCAGCUAGCUCCAGAUCAUGAGUUGGAUAGUGCUCCUCAUGUCGGCGCAACUGCCUUGAAGCAUACGCAAUCACUCGGUCCUCUUGCAUCAGUACACAGCCGAGCCCACUGCCAGAUGCAUCACAAUAUACGUCAAAAGGUUUAGUGAUGUCCGGUUGAGCCAAUACCGGAGCAGUGGUCAAUAGUGUCUUCAGUUGCUCAAAGGCUUCAUUACACUUAGAAGACCAAUUGAACUUAAUGUCAUUCUUCAAUAAACUUGUGAUUGGCUUCACAAGCUUAGAGAAAUCUGGUAUGAAUCUGCGAUAAUACCCAGCUAGUCCAAGAAAACUCCGGACUUGGUGAACAGUGGUUGGAGGUUUCCACUCCAGAAUAUCUUUGACCUUGCUAGGAUCUACCGCAAUUCCUUUAGCUGAUAACACGUGCCCCAAAAAUUGAAUUUCUUCCAGCCAGAACGCGCACUUGCUGAACUUGGCAUAUAGUUGGUGUUCCCUUAGGCGCGUCAAUACAAUCCGUAAAUGCUGAGCAUGGUCUUCUUCAUUCUUGGAAUAUAUCAAGAUAUCGUCGAUGAAGACUACCACGAACUUGUCCAAUUCGGGCAUGAACACCGAGUUCAUUAAAUAAGUGAAGUGGGCAGGAGCAUUUGUGAGCCCGAAAGACAUUACCAAGUAUUCAAACAAUCCAUACCGCGUAGUAAACGCGGUUUUCGGUAUAUCCUCGGGCCGAAUACGGAUUUGAUGAUAGCCCGACCUGAGAUCAAUUUUGGAAAAUACCCUCGCCCCAGUCAGCUGAUCAAAUAAGAUGUCGAUCCUUGGAAGAGGGUACUUAUUCUUGAUAGUGACCUCAUUUAGGGGUCGAUAAUCCACGCACAUUCGCAAGGUUUGAUCCUUCUUCUUAACAAAAAUGGCGGGACAACCCCACGGGGACGAGCUUGGCCGGAUGAAUCCCUUAUUCAAUAGAUCUUGUAAUUGAAUCUUUAAUUCCGCCAAUUCAUUAGGGGGCAUACGGUACGACCUUCGGGAGAUGGGAGCCGUACCGGGCUUUAGCUCAAUUACGAAUUCUACAUCUCUUUUAGGGGGCAGUCCAGGCAAAUCUUCCGGAAAUACAUCUGGAAACUCACAUACUACCGGAAUGUUCUUGAUCUCUGGUACAAUGGCUUCAUAGACUCUACCAGAAGUUUUGGCUGGAUUGGUUGCGGGGAGAGUCAAAAGAAUCUCUUCUUGGUUAUAGCUCAACCUGACGGUCCUGAGUUCAGUGUUGAGAAUUGCCUUGUGUUGGGUUAACCAAUUCAUACCCAAGAUUACAUCUAUAUCCUGGCCCUUCAGAACAAUCAUGUUAGCAGGAAAGUUCCGUCCGGCCAUUGUUAUUGGCACUCCAUAGGCCACUUCUUUAGUAUAAAUGUGUCCCCCAGGUGAAUGAAUUUUAAAUCCCUCCUUUGAUUCAUGGUAUGCAAUAUGAUAUUGUUCCACAAACUUCUUGCUAAUAAAUGUAUGUGAAGCACCAGAAUCAAAAAGAAUAAUUGCUGGGUGACUGGCCACGGGAAACGUACCCAUCAUCACCGGCUCUCCUUCCGGUGUAGUAGCCACUUGAGUGUAAUAUAUACGCCCUGUCUUCUUCGUAUUUUUCCCCAUAGCAUUUCCUUUAGGCUGAGCUAAUUUCCCAGAUCCUUGCGAAGCAUUAGAUUGAUUUUGCCUAGGAUAUGGGCAGUCUUUGAUGAAGUGUCCCGACUUGCCGCAAUUAAAACACCCAGUUGAAGAACUAGGCAAGGCAGGAAAUCAAGUGCCUAGGGCACCCGGCUGUUUUGGGGUAGUGGGGGCAUUGUUGGGGCGGAUAAUGAUUGGCUGUUUGAAGGGAAAUGAAGGUGGACGAGAAAAAGGGCGAUUUUGGCUUGAAGGUCGGAUCACAAACCGUGGUUUCUUCGCCUGGCCCUGACUAGGCCUCUCACCACCGAAUCCCUUAUUCUUCCCAGAAUUUGUGUAUUUGGCUUCAACAGAUAAGGCUGUGCUGACAGCCUUUCCAUACGUGAGAUCUAUGCAUGUGGCCAUUUUCCUUUGUAGCCGAUCAUUCAGUCCCCGCAUAAAACAGUUCUUCUUCUUUAAAUCCGUAUUCACCUGGUCAAUGGCAUACUGCGAUAGGUGAUUGAAUUUGUUGAGAUAUUGGUUGACGGUAUCUCCACCUUGUUGUAACUUCAUAAACUCCUCUUGUUUCAUAUGUAGCACUCCUUCGGGGAUGUAGUGUUCACGGAAGGCUGCUUUAAACUCAUCCCAAGUGACUUGAUGGUUGACAGGUUGGAUAGCCACAAAAUUUCCCCACCAGGUACUGGCAGGACCACGGAGUUGUUGUGCGGCGAAUAACGGCUUCUGCGUUUCUGAGCAACGGAGAAGACCAAACUUUUGCUCAAUAACCCGAAUCCACUCGUCAGCUUCUAGGGGAUCUUCUGCCUUGACGAAUAGAGGUGGACGGGUUUCCGAGAAAUCCAGAUAGGUGGUCUCAUGAGGGCCUUGCGGAAAACCCCUUCCUGCUUGCUGCUGGAAUUGCUGCUGACCCGCCAUUUCCCUAAGGAAGCGGGUAUUGUCCGCGGUGGCAUUCACCAAGGCGGCGAUCGCCUCGGCUAACGUGGGAGGAACUGGAGGUGGGUUUGGGGUAACAUCCCGUCCCCCAGAAGUUCCUGCUGCGUCCUGUCCUCGAGUCCUGGUCGGCAUCUGUGGCAAAAACAUUUGAAGUAAACAAAAUGUGCCAGAGAAAACCUUCCAUUAUACAUUACUAUAAAAAGUAAUGAUACAGACUCGAUAUUACAUAACAGGAUACAAUACCCAUUAUACAAAAGUUCAACCUAUUAUACAACAGUACACCCUACAAUACCCUACCAUACACUACUCUACUUCUAUUACACCUUUAUUCCUUCUUGCCAUUACUCUUGGCGGCUUCAUCGUCAGGUGUGGGAGUCCAGACAUCAACCAACCUCAAAGAAGGAGGGGGCUCAAAAAGGUCUAACUCCCCACCCAGCGCACGUCCCGCAACGUGAGAUGGUCCAGCUUCCGCCUCAGCAGGUUGUGCAGGCUCACUUGGGUGUAGUUGUGAGUAUAGUAUAUGGACUUCCUCGUGCAACGUGUUGCAGUAAACCUGCAGGUUAUCAACAGUCGAGCUAAGUUCUUUAACUCGGGCCUGAGCCCUUGUUUCCUUAGCACACAUUAGCAAACGAGACUGUACGGCCCAGUCAAGUGCUAAGUCUCGAUCAGCGAGUUGAUCCUGCAAGUGUCGGAUGUCCCUUCUCAGUUCGUUGAUUCUAUCUCCGUCGGCGACCCAAGCAUCAGUCCUAUGUUGCAGCACCGCUUGAAGUCGACUCACCCGGGCUUCAAGGUCUCCGAUGGGGUCGUUACUUCCACUGCUGCUGCUUUCAUGUCGGGGAGCCAAUUGAUGCCGAGGCACCCCAAUUGGUCCCGUAGACUUGCGUGCCGUUAGCCUGGUGCGUGGCGGCAUCUUUUCUAAGGGGGAAAAUGUUAUUAGUAAGAUUCUUAGCAUGAUGCAUGUAUAAUUACAGAAUCAACCUUAGUCAAUUCAACCUUCUAUAUGUUGCACUCUUCCUAUCUGGUCUUUAAAAUAGACUCUUCAGAAUACUUAGGUAAGAAGAGAAAAGAAUUUUUAGGUAAGACUUUUGAAAAUCCUUUUGAAGAUGCCUCAUAAUAUCUGCAAAGAAGGGCUACGCUCCGAUACCAGCUGUGACAGAACCUCCCAAGUAAUUAGGCCCACCUACAGUUGUCCUUGUCCAACGGACAUCAGACAACCCUGUAGGUGCCCCUGAACUACUUGACAAGCUCGGUAUCUUUCCUUACCUUACCAGGAACGUCUCACCCGUCUUGCAGACAUUACAGAACAUCGGAGAUAUGCGGAAGCAGUUACAUAAACUUACAUUUAUUUCAAAAGCAAGCUUGAGUUAUGUUAUUACAGACCAGACUAAACGUGAGUGCAGAGUAGUAAUAUUAUACAAACCAGGGGAGGCACAAACUCCUCCCGAUAAGUUUAACAAAAGAUCCUAAGUGGAGGACCGAAUCCUCCCGCACUUCAGUCUUCUUUUUCCUCGUUUGAUACCACCUUGGAGCAGAAGCAACAAAAGUUUGUCGCUUCCUCACCUAAAAACAACAAAGGGAUAAACCCUGAGUAUGGAAUACUCAGCAAGUCUUACCCGACUAAGGAAAAGACUCUCAAGGGUAUGCUGGAUAAGUAGGAGUCAAGGAGAGGCUUUAGCAAAAAUCAACUUAUAGUUUUGCAGAAGAAGCUUACUAAAGUGAGUCCUUACUUUCCAUCUUUUAAUGCCAUCUUAAGUAUUAAUAGACUCUAUUUGCAUCUAGUCUAAUUUCACAUCCAAUCAAGACAACAUUAGUUUUAUCCAUAGUGUUCACAUCCUGACUGUAGGUUGUAGAAAAGUGACCAAGUCUUCAUAACCGCGAAGGUACGGCGAUCCGAAUCGAUUAUACUCAGCUGAGGAUCUCCAAUCACACGACAUAUGUAGCACUUAACCCUUGCAUAUGUCAACCCGCCACCGGGGUUCUUAAGACCGGAUCAGGUUCAUGCAAACCGAGAGCACAGAUACACCACCGUCCAGCCUCUUGCCACGGAGGGUACACGCUACUCUCGCCACCGCUCCACGCCCAUUUCGUGUUAUCUUAUUCCGGCCUUAGUCUGCCCGAGGCAAGGCUUACCCAUGACGAGGCAUGUGACCAGUUAAAGGGUCCUCGGUCAGCACGCCUACAUACGCGUUAAUCCUUAACCAACUUGGGUAGAACAUCACCUGUUCCUAACCCAAGUCUCAAUUUAAGUAUUUCCAUCCUUAGGAUUGUGUCUGUUCCUUAGAAUGAAAGAGCAUCACAGGGAACUUUGCAGUAAGAUCCCACUUUUGCUCCAAAUGAAAAUAUUCUUGCAGGUAGAAGCCAUCCUCUCCAUGGUUAAAUUGAGGACAACUUCUAUCCACAAGAUCUAAGCAAGUCUAAGCAUUUUUGUAAAUCAUAUUUUGAUACUUCACAGAAGUAUCUAUAAAGGUAUGGAUAUCAAGGAAAGCAAUGCAUCAAAGGGUUUCAAGUAACUCCUAUGAACCUAAUGCACAUUUCACUAGACUUAAGUGUGCAAAAAGUAUUUAAAAACAUAAGGAAAGGGGUGGCAUGCACCGGGGCUUGCCUUCGUUCACAGGUGAAUCAGGCUCAGAUCCACAGAUGUCAAAGUAGAAAUGAUUCCCGGCCUGAGACUCCGAAGGUGGUGGUGUCUCCUCUUCGGUAACUUCGAUUUCUUCCUCACGUUCUAAUCAUAACCAUACAUAUGUAUAAGAAUGGAUGCCAUGGGAUGCUCAUGAGGAUGCAAAGAUAGCAUAAACUUAUUAUUUAUGUCUUGAAUACAACUUUCCUUCACGGAGUUCCGGGAACUUAGGGUUUCCGGAGUCGGUAAAGGAGUUCAUAGGGCGGGGGGGGGGGGGGGGGGUGUUUUGGGGUUUGGUGAUCAAACAAGGUCCAAAUCAAUUCAAACUCUACCCAAGGCUUCUAAAUAGUGUAUAACACUCAUAUAAAAAUUUUGGGCAUUUUUGGACUUACCAAUUAUUUUCUAAAAAUCUAUAACCAACAUUUUUAACCACUUUAAAUACCCUAAAAUUUCUUACUUCCACUAAAAAUCACAAACUUAUUUUUAUUAAAUACUAUGGAAAAUAACAGACCUAGGAAAAUUAGUCUCAUAUUUUUAGGAUUUUUCUACAUUUUUCUAUAAUUGUUUUGGCUCUGCUGUAAAAGAAAAAAGGAAAAUAUUCCAACAGUGAUGGGCCAGAUUCAGCUCAGCGGCCCAGUUCCAGAGGGAAAGCGCGCCCGCGCGCCCUGACGGUUUUGCAGAACGACCCCCGCGUUUUUAUCUAACAGCGAACGAGCCCUUUCACUAUUCCUGUGUGUCGCUGACCGAUCACAAAAAGGCCCCUGCGUUUCUUUCUAUUUCCGAUUGGAAGUCCACGACGGCGCUCGCGCACCGCCGUGCUCCGACGAGCAAGCAGAUCGGCCAGAAGGGACAACGGCUAGGGUUUUUGAGCAGCAGACACCAAAUUCAAGUCCUAAGGACUCUUUCCCCCCAAUCAAUUUCAUGCUUGGUGAUCUGCCAAGCUCUGCCCGCGAGGACAAUGCACGGCGCGGAUAGGUGUUCGUGUUCCAAUCAAUUCAUGGCAGUUAAAUUCAAUUGGAUGGUUUGGAAAGCAUCAAGGACACACGAGAAUGUUAGAACAAGCAACAGAGCAACAUGAACUGACCUAAUUUGGGCUGGCCACGGUGAGACUUGUUUCACGGUGGCGGAGAGCGAGGUUGGGGGAAAUUCCGAAUUCGAGCAGAUGAGUGGAUGAUUGUGGCUGAUUAGCGGUGGUUAGCUAGCGAACUACCCCACGGAGCUGGACACGGGCUCAAUUUAUAGGAAGGAUGGGCGGUGGUCGCGAAUUUGGACGAGACACGCGGCGGUCGGAGGUGAAGAAGAAGCACUGGCCGCGUGAGUUCGUGGCCAACGGCGUGGCAGUAACUCCGGUGAGCCACGGAGACUUCAGAGGAGGUCACGGCGACACGGUAAAAGAGUUGAGCCACGCGGCGCACGGCCGGGAGGCGGCGGUCGACGGUGAACAUAUCCACAUCCGCCGCGGUAACGAUGGUACGGUGGCCGGAGUUGUUUAAUGGCUGAAGUUUAUCCCCGGCGGUGACCUCCAAGCGUUAUCCACACGGUCCGCACGAAUCACAGCAACGGAUCGACCACCGGCGACGACCUACCAGCGACGAGCCCGCCGCGCUGGCAACCUGAUCCACUCGGGUCUACUGUACCAUGGCAAUCCUCAUUCAGAGCACCUGACAGCCGGAGUUGAGGGUCGAUUUUCUCCAAAUUUCACUUGGCGACUCACCCAAGUAUCUGCAUCAAAGUUGUAGUGCUACUUACCAACUACAAUUCGACUAUAGGGGCUACACUUAUUUGAGCACUGGAUCAAGGUCAAACUGGCUCUCAAACUUGGGUCUAGGCCACUGUUAGUCUGAAAUUCAGACAAUACUAGCCCGACAGCCUGACUUCAGGCUUAAUUACCUCCAAAAUUUUCUUAACAACUGUGCUCACACCUUUUAGCAAAGUUGUACUCCUAUAGUUGGGCUACAAUCUUGAUGUGGUGACCUAGGGCAAAAACCCUAUAAUUUGAAAGUGACAAAGCCCCAAAGUGGAGCCUUUAACACUAAAUUUCAGACUUGGUAUAGAACUCAAAUGAGGUCCAUUUUGCAUUUAAGUCCAAAACUUAGGGUUUGGCUUGUAAAUUCACAUAUUUGUGAACCAAAUGACUUUAUAUGUCAAAACAUAGUAGUUUUUACACUUUAGUCCAAAGGUUCAUCAUUUUUGCACAUAAGUCCCUAGGGUUUGGUUUUAGGGUUUUCUAGGGUUCCAAUUAGGGUUUCUGGUAUCCCAGGGGUACAAAAGUGAUUCAAGUUUAUUCUUAGGGUCAUUUUAUGACUUUUACCCUAAAGCUUUUUAGGUUUUCUUAACUUGGGUUAAGUUUUACCCCUUUAACCACUAUUUAGGGUUAAGUCCAUUAACCAGGGUUCCAUUUGCAAAAACAUUAAAACAAUACAACUUGUUUGAAAUUUUUGCCUAGUGAAUGCACUCUAGGUGUGUCACACAUAUGCAAUGCCAAUGCUUAUGAUGUCAUGCUCAAGUUUUAGUUAUAGUAACACCAGGGGUGUUACAAAAGCGAUGGAUGAUGUUGGUGAAGAACGCCACUGCCUGUUCGGACCUGAUGCUGUUUAGGGGUCGGACCUCGAUCCACUUGGAGAAUUUGUCGAUGGUGACCAACAGGUGCGUGUAGCCCCCGGGUGCCUUCUGCAAGGGGCCGACGAGGUCCAGACCCCACACAGCAAAAGGCCAGGUGAUGGGUAUCGUCUGUAGGGCCUGAGCGGGCAGGUGGGUCUGCCUUGCGUAGAACUGACACCCUUCGCAGGUGCGGACAAUUCUUGUGGCGUCGGCCACCGCCGUCGGCCAGUAGAAACCUUGUCGGAAGGCGUUUCCAACAAGGGCUCGAGGUGCUGCGUGAUGGCCGCAAGCCCCCGAGUGUAUCUCUUGUAGGAGCUCCUCAGACCAAACGGCAUGGUAACAUAGCAGUACAUGCCGAAGGGUGUGAUGAAAGAAUUCGCGAGCUGGUCAGACUCUUUCAUCUUGAUCUGGUGAUACCUCGAGUAGGCAUCGAGGAAAGACAGGGUUUCGCACCCAGUAGUGGAAUCCACGAUUUGAUCGAUGCGAGGCAGAGGGUAGGGAACUUUCGGACAUGCUUUGUUUAGACCAGUGUAGUCUACACACAUCCGCCAUUUCCCUCCUUUCUUUCUCACAAGCAGAGGGUUGGCAAGCCAUUCGGGAUGGAAUACCUCUUUGAUGAACACUGCCGCCAUUAGCUUGUGGAUCUCCUCGCCUAUAGCUCUGCGCUUUUCUUCGUCGAAUCGGCGCAGAGGCUGCUUCACGGGUCGGGCUCCAGCUCGGAUAUCCAGUGAGUGCUCGGCGACAUCCCUCGGUAUGCCGGGCAUGUCCGAGGGACUCCACGCGAAAACGUCGGCGUUUGCGCGGAGAAAGUCGACGAGCACUGCUUCCUAUUUGGGAUCGAGCUCGGAGCCGAUCCGGAUUUGCUUGGAGGCGUCGUUGCUGGGGUCGAGAGGGACGGAUUUAACCGUUUCCGCUGGCUCGAAGUUGUCGGCGUGGCGCUUCACGUCUGGCACCUCCUUAGAGAGGCUCUCCAGGUCGGCGAUGAGGGCCUCGGAUUCGGCGAGGGCCUUGGCGUACUCCACGCACUCCAUGUCGCAUUCGUACGCGUGUCGGUACAUGGGGCCGACGGUGAUGACCCCGUUGGGGCCCGACAUCUUGAGCUUGAGGUAGGUGUAGUUGGGGACGACCAUGAACUUGGCGUAGCAUGGCCUCCCCAGCACUGCGUGGUAGGUUCCUCGAAACCCGACCACCUCGAACGUGAGGGUCUCCCUUCGGAAGUUGGAGGGCGUCCCAAAGCAGACGGGUAGAUCGAGUUGUCCGAGGGGAUGGACGCGUUUCCCGGGGAUGAUCCCAUGAAAAGGCGCAGCGCCUGCCCGGACCGAGGAUAGAUCAAUCCACAGGAGCCCGCGGGUCUCGGCGUAGAUGAUGUUGAGGCUGCUGCCUCCGUCCAUGAGGACCUUGGUGAGCCUGACGUUGCCGAUGACGGGGUCGACAACGAGCGGGUAUUUCCCCGGGCUCGGCACACGGUCAGGAUGGUCGCCCUAGUCGAAGGUGAUGGGCUUGUCGGACCAGUGUAGGUAGACUAGCGCCACCACCUUUACCGAGCAGACCUCCCGACGCUCUUGCUUGCGGUGCCGAGCUGAGGUGUUCGCCACUCGCCCACCAUAGAUCAUGUAGCAGUCGUGGACCUCGGGGAACUCUCCUGCCUUGUGAUCUUCCUUCUUAUCGUCGUCGCGAGCCCUGCCACCCUCUGCGGGUGGCCCGACCUUAUGAAAGUGGCGCCGAAGCAUGGCGCACUCCUCGAGGGUGUGCUUGACGGGCCCCUGAUGAUAGGGGCACGGCUCCUUGAGCAUCUUGUCGAAGAGGUUGGCACCUCCGGGAGGUUUCCGAGGGUUUUUGUACUCGGCGGCGGCGACAAGGUCCGCGUCGGCGGCGUCACGUUUCGCUUGUGACUUCUUCUUGCCUUUCUUCUUGGCUCCGCGCUGGGUUGACGCCUCGGGGACAUCUUCCGGUGGGCGGCCCUGGGGCUGCUUGUCCUUCCGGAAGAUGGCCUCAAUCGCCUCCUGGCCAGAGGCGAACUUGGUGGCGAUGUCCAUCAGCUCGCUCGCCCUAGUGGGGGUCUUGCGACCCAGCUUGCUCACCAGGUCGCGGCAGGUGGUGCCGGCGAGGAACGCGCCGAUGACAUCCGAAUCGGUGAUGUUGGGCAGCUCGGUGCGCUGCUUCGAGAAUCGCCGGAUGUAGUCCCGGAGAGACUCUCCCAGCUGCUGUCAGCAGCUUCGGAGAUUCCAGGAGUUUCCAGGGCGCACGUAUGUGCCCUGGAAGUUGCCGGCGAAGGCUUGGACCAGGUCGUCCCAGUUGGAGAUCUGCCCCGGAGGCAGGUGCUCCAACCAGGCCCGAGCGGUAUCAGAGAGGAACAGGGGGAGGUUGCGGAUGAUGAGGUUGUCAUCGUCCGUUCCACCCAGUUGGCAGGCCAGCCGGUAGUCCGCGAGCCACAGUUCCAGUCUCGUCUCCCCCGAGUACUUUGUGAUAGUAGUCGGGGUUCGGAACCGAGUCAGGAACGGCGCCCGUCGUAUGGCACGGCUGAAAGCCUGUGGACCGGGUGGUUCGGGCGAGGGACUCCAAUCCUCCCCGCUGUCGUAGCGUCCCCCAUGCCUGGGGUGGUAGCCUCGGCGCACCCUCUCGUCGAGGUGGGCCCGACGGUUGCGGUGAUGGUGCUCGUUGCCGAGGCGACCCGGGGCCACAGGCGUUGUGUUGCGCGUGCGCCCGGUGUGGACCGAGGCUUCCCGCAUGAAUCGGGAAGUCGCGACGCGAUGUUCCGAGGGGCGCCCCUGCCUUCGGGAGGCGGAGCUUUCGGCCUGUCGGACCGCGGCGUCCUCCAGGAGAUUCUUGAGCUCUCCCUGGAUACGUCGCCCCUCGGUGGUUGAUGGCUCCGGCAUCGCGCGGAGAAGUAUUGCCGCUGCAGCCAGGUUCUGGCCGACUCCGCUGGAAGUGGGUGGCGGCCUUACCCUGACGUCGUCGGCGAUGCGAUGCUGGAAGCCCUGGGGGAGAUGACGCGCUUCUCCGGGCGGAGGUUGGCCCGUCCAUUCCUGCCCGAGCUCAAGUGUUCCUGCUCCCCCGUCGUCGGCUCAAGUGUUCCUGCUCCCCCGUCGAGCCUGGCCUGCAUCUCGCGGAUUUGCUCAAGCUGUGGGUCAGGACCCCCCGCCGGGACGGGGACCACAGCUAGCUCCCGAAGGAUGUCAACACGAGGUACAGGCCUAGGGAGAUCACCGUUCUCCGACAUACCAAGAUGGUUGCCUUCGUCGGGAUCCCCUAGAUCGAUGUGGAAACAUUCACGACUUGGGCCACAGUCCUCGUUGCCGAGGCUGCGGCUACCGUCGGAACAAUCAGAAAGGCAAUAGUCGCACGCGGUCAUAAAGUCCCGCAUGGCACUGGGGUUACCAAGUCCAGAGAAAUCCCAACAGAAGUCGAGCUCGUCAUCUUCCUCGGACCCCGAGGGCCCGUAGGUCGAGACGACCGUCAGCCGGUCCCAGGGUGACCGCAUACGACACCCCAGAGGGUUUGGACUCGCCUCUAUGAGAGCGUCCACCGAAGCGAAGUCGCUUGGUGGGUCGAGGCUGAAUCCAAAAGGCGCGAGAUGGGAAUCGGUCGGUACCUCUUGGUCGACGGGCGGUGACGAAGUCACGUCAGGGACUGACCGCACCGUCGUCUCAGGUACAAGGGUGACGCCCAGCAAGUCCUUCGCGAGCGUGCUGGCGUCGUCCGUUUGCUUGGGGUUGGCGUGUUGCGGGGAGACGACGCUCGUCUUCGUCUCAGACGCGAGGUCGGUGCUCGACGUGCCCCCCGCUGAGGCGCCGGCGCCGUCAACUCGCUCGACAGCCGACGAGGUGCCGCCUCCUGCUUGGCCUUGGUUGCCCCGCCCCCUCCUCCGUCGGUGGGGGAGGGGACGGGACAAGCCCGAAUGUUGUUCUUCCACCACGCGGGGAAGGCGUCGUCGAUUCCGCCGCCGGCGGGCGGGCUGUCGGCCGCCAUUGUCGCUGUCGCGCGGCGGGGGAAGAAGUAUCAUGUCGUAGCUGCCGUCGUGGGACAUGAACUCAAGACUCCCGAAACGGAGCACCGUCCCGGGCUGGAAAGGUUGCUGGAGACUGCCCAUCUGGAGCUUGACGGGAAGCUGUUCGUCAACACGCAAUAGGCCCCUACCUGGCGCGCCAACUGUCGGUGUUUCGAACCCGGGGGGUCCCUGGACCGAUGAGUAAAUUAUCGCCGCGUGCCCCAGCCCAGAUGGGUCGGCGCGAGACGGAGCGCGAAGGGGGGAAGCAGCCGGAGGGAGACAGGCGUGAGAGGUGAAAUCCCGCGGCCUUCGUGUUUGUCCCGCGCCCAGGUCGGGUGCGCUUGCAGUAGGGGGUUACAAGCGUCCACGCGGGAGGGAGCGAGCGGCCCUGCGCGAGCGCCGUCCCGUCCUUCCCCGCGCGACCAACUGAUAGUCGCCUAGAGGGGGGGGGGUGAAUAGGGCGAAACUGAAAUUUACAAAUAUAAACACAACUACAAGCCUGGUUAGCGUUAGAGAUAAUAACGAGUCCGAGAGAAAGGGCGCAAAACAAAUCGCAAGCAAAUGAAGAGUGUGACACAUGGAUUUGUUUUACCGAGGUUCGGUUCUUGCAAACCUACUCCCCGUUGAGGAGGCCACAAAGGCCGGGUCUCUUUCAACCCUUACCCUCUCUCAAACGGUCCCUCGGACCGAGUGAGCUUCUCUUCUCAAAUCAAAACCGGGAACAAAACUUCCCCGCAAGGGCCACCACACAAUUGGUGCCUCUUUCCUUGAUUACAAUGGAGUUUUGAUCACAAGAAUAAGUGAGAAAGAAAAGAAGCAAUCCAAGCGCAAGAGCUCAAAGGAACACGGCAAAUCUCUCUCGCUAAUCACUAAAGCCUUGAGUGGAAUUGGAGAGGAUUUGAUCUCUUUGGUGUGUCUAGAAUUGAAUGCCUAGCUCUCGUAAGUGGUUGAGAAGUUGAAAACUUGGAUGCAAUGAAUGGUGGGUGGUUGGGGGUAUUUAUAGCCCCAACCACCAAACUAGCCGUUUGGUGGGGCUGUCUGUCGCAUGGUGCACCGGACAGUCCGGUGCACACCGGACAUGUCCGGUGCGCCAGCCACGUCACCAAAGCCGUUGGGUUAUGACCGUUGGAGCUCUGUCUUCUGGGCCCGCCUGGAUGUCCGGUGGCGCACCGGACAUGCACUGUAGAGUGUCUGGUGCGCCAGCAUGGGCGUGCCUGACUUCUGCGCGCGCUGGCGCGCAUUUAAUGCGUCCGCAGGUAGCCGUUGGCGCCGAAGUAGCCGUUGCCCUGCUGUUACACCGGACAGUCCGGUGUACACCGGACAUGUCCGGUGAAUUAUAGCGGAGCAGCCGUCGCGAAUUCCCGAGGCUGCCAAGUUCCAGAGCCGCGUCCUCUUGGAGCACCGGACACUGUCCGGUGUACACCGGACAGUCCGGUGAAUUAUAGUGCGCCGGCUCUGAAAAUUCCCGAGGCUGAGGAGUUCAGCGCAAGGUCCCCUGGUGCACCGGACACUGUCCGGUGGCACACCGGACAGUCCGGUGCGCCAGACCAGGGAGCCUUUCGGGAUGCCUUUAGCUCUCUAUUUUGAACCCAACAUUGGUCCUUUUAAUUGGCUUGUUGUGAACCUUUGGCACCUGUAUAACUUAUACACUAGAGCAAACUAGUUAGUCCAAUUAUUUGUGUUGGGCAAUUCAACCACCAAAAUUAUUUAGGAACUAGGUGUAAGCCUAAUUCCCUUUCAAUCUCCCCCUUUUUGGUGAUUGAUGCCAACACAAACCAAAGCAAAUAUAGAAGUGCAAUUUGAACUAGUUUGCAUAAUGUACGUGCAAAGAUUGCUUGGAAUUGAGCCAACAUAAAUACUUAUAAGAUAUGCAUGGAUUGUUUCUUUGUUUUUAACAUUUUGGACCACGCUUGCACCACAGAUUUUGUUUUUGCAAAUUCUUUUGUAAAUCCUUUUCAAAGUUCUUUUGCAAAUAGUCAAAGGUAAAUGAAUAAGAUUUUAUGAAGCAUUUUCAAGAUUUGAAAUUUUCUCCCCCCUGUUUCAAAUGCUUUUCCUUUGACUAAACAAACCUCCCCCUAAAUGAGAUCCUCCUCUUAGUGUUCAAGAGGGUUUUGAUAUAUCAUUUUGAAAUACUACUUUCUCCCCCUUUUGAACAUAAUGAGAUACCAAUUUGAAGUUUACCAAUUGAAAAUCUCCAAUUUAAAAUUAGGUGGUGGUGGGUGGUGGUGCGGUCCUUUUGCUUUGGGCUCAUACUUUCUCCCCCUUUGGCAUGAAUCGCCAAAAACGGAAUCAUUAGAGCCCUAAGAAUUACUCUCUCCCCCUUUGGUAAUAAAUAAAUGAGUGAAGAUUAUACCAAAGACGGAGUCCUUUUGCUUGGUGCUCAUGCUUUCUCCCCCAGAAAUGGAGAGUUGCUUGGAGUGACAGCGAAGGAUGAGUUACGGAGUGGAAGCCUUUUGUCUUCGCCGAAGACUCCAAUUCCCUUUCAAUAUACCUAUGACUUGGUUUGAAAUAGACUUGAAAAACACAUUAGUCAUAGCAUAUGAAAGAGACAUGAUCAAAGGUAUACAAAUGAGCUAUGUGUGCAAUUUAGCAAAAGAAAUUGCGCGAAUCAAGAAUAUUGAGCUCAUGCCUAAGUUUGUUAAAAGUUUGUUCAUCAAGAGGCUUGGUAAAGAUAUCGGCUAAUUGAUCUUUAGUGUUAAUGUAAGAAAUCUCGAUAUCUCCCUUUUGUUGGUGAUCCCUAAGAAAAUGAUACCGAAUGGCUAUGUGUUUAGUGCGGCUAUGCUCGACGGGAUUAUCCGCCAUCUUGAUUGCACUCUCAUUAUCACAUAGCAAAGGGACUUUGGUUAAUUUGUAACCGUAGUCUCGCAGGGUUUGCCUCAUCCAAAGCAAUUGCGCGCAACAAUGGCCUGCGGCAAUGUACUCGGCUUCAGCGGUAGAAAGAGCAACGGAAUUUUGCUUCUUUGAAGCCCAAGACACCAAGGAUCUUCCCAAGAACUGGCAAGUCCCCGAUGUGCUCUUUCUAUUAAUCUUACACCCCGCCCAAUCGGCAUCCGAAUAACCAAUCAAAUCAAAUGUGGAUCCCCGAGGGUACCAAAGCCCAAACUUAGGAGUAUAAGCCAAAUAUCUCAAGAUUCAUUUUACGACCUUAAGGGUGGAUUCCUUAGGGUCGGAUUGGAAUCUUGCACACAUGCAAACGGAAAGCAUAAUGUCCGGUCGAGAUGCACAUAAAUAGAGUAAUGAACCUAUCAUCGACCGGUAUACCUUUUGAUCGACGGAUUUACCUCCCGUGUCGAGGUCGAGAUGCCCAUUGGUUCCCAUGGGUGUCUUGAUGGGCUUAGCAUCCUUCAUUCCAAACUUGGUUAGAAUGUCUUGAGUAUACUUCGUUUGGCUAAUGAAGGUGCCUUCUUGGAGUUGCUUGACUUGAAAUCCUAGAAAAUACUGCAACUCCCCCAUCAUCGACAUCUCGAAUUUUUGUGUCAUGAUCCUACUAAAUUCUUCACAUGUAGAUUCGUUAGUAGACCCAAAUAUAAUAUCAUCAACAUAAAUUUGGCAUACAAACAAAUCAUUGUCAAGAGUUUUAGUGAAUAAAGUAGGAUCGGCCUUGCCGACUUUGAAGCUAUUCGCUAUAAGGAAAUCUCUUAGGCAUUCAUACCAUGCUCUUGGGGCUUGCUUGAGCCCAUAAAGCGCCUUAGAGAGUCUAUAGACAUGGUUAGGAUACUCACUAUCUUCAAAGCCGGGAGGUUGCUCAACAUAGACCUCUUCCUUGAUUGGUCCAUUGAGGAAGGCACUUUUCACGUCCAUUUGAUAAAGCUUAAAGCCAUGGUAAGUAGCAUAGGCCAAUAAUAUACGAAUUGACUCAAGCCUAGCUACGGGUGCAUAGGUUUCACCGAAAUCCAAACCUUCGACUUGGGAGUAUCCCUUGGCCACAAGUCGAGCUUUGUUCCUUGUCACCACACCAUGCUCAUCUCGCUUGUUGCGGAAGACCCAUUUGGUUCCUACAACAUUUUGAUUAGGACAUGGAACUAAAUGCCAUACCUUAUUCCUAGUGAAGUUGUUGAGCUCCUCUUGCAUCGCCACCACCCAAACCGAAUCUUGGAGUGCUUCCUCUACCCUGUGGGGCUCAAUAGAGGAAACAAAAGAGUAAUGCUCACAAAAAUGUGCAACACGAGAUCGAGUGGUUACCUCCUUAUGAAUGUCGCCGAGGAUGGUGUCGACGGGGUGAUCUCGUUGGAUUGCUUGGUAGACUCUUGGGUGUGGCGACCUUUGUUCUUCAUCCUCCUUGUCUUGAUCAUUUGCAUCUCCCCCUUGAUCAUUGCCGUUAUCUUGAGGUGGCUCAUUUGCUUGAUCUUCUAUUUCAUCAACUUGAGCUUCAUCCUCAUUUUGAGUCGGUGGAGAUGCUUGCGUGGAGGAGGAUGGUUGAUCUUGUGCAUUCGGAGGCUCUUCGGAUUCCUUAGGACACACAUCCCCAAUGGACAUGUUCCUUAGCGCGAUGCAAGGAGCCUCUUCAUUACCUAUCUCAUCAAGAUCAACUUGCUCUACUUGAGAGCCGUUAGUCUCAUCAAACACAACGUCACAAGAAACUUCAACUUGUCCAAUGGACUUGUUAAAGACUCUAUAUGCCCUUGUGUUUGAAUCAUAUCCUAGUAAAAAGCCUUCUACAGUCUUAGGAGCAAAUUUAGAUUUUCUACCUCUUUUAACAAGAAUAAAACAUUUGCUACCAAAGACUCUAAAAUAUGAAAUAUUGGGCUUUUUACCGGUUAGGAGUUCAUAAGAUGUCUUCUUGAGGAUUCGGUGUAGAUAUAACCGGUUGAUGGCGUAGCAGGCGGUGUUGACCGCCUCGGCCCAAAACUGAUCCGAAGUCUUGUACUCAUCAAGCAUGGUCCUUGCCAUGUCCAAUAGAGUUCGAUUCUUCCUCUCCACUACACCAUUUUGUUGUGGCGUGUAGGGAGAAGAGAACUCAUGCUUGAUGCCCUCCUCCUCAAGGAAGCCUUCAAUUUGAGAGUUCUUGAACUCUGUCCCGUUGUCGCUUCUAAUUUUCUUGAUCCUUAAGCCGAACUCAUUUUGAGCCCGUCUCAAGAAUCCCUUUAAGGUCUCUUGGGUUUGCGAUUUUUCCUGCAAAAAGAAUACCCAAGUGAAGCGAGAAUAAUCAUCCACUAUUACAAGACAAUACUUACUCCCGCCGAUGCUUAUGUAAGCAAUCGGGCCGAAUAGAUCCAUGUGGAGUAGCUCAAGCGGCCUGUCGGUCGCCAUGAUGUUCUUGUGUGGAUGAUGGGCACCAAUUUGCUUUCCUGCUUGGCAUGCGCUACAAACCCUGUCUUUCUCAAAAUGAACAUUGGUUAGUCCUAAAAUGUUUUCUCCCUUUAGAAGCUUGUGAAGACUCUUCAUCCCAACAUGGGCUAGUCGGCGGUGCCAGAGCCAACCCAUGUUAGUCUUAGCAAUUAAGCAAGUGUCGAGUUCAGCUCUAUCAAAAUCUACUAAGUAUAGCUGACCCUCCAACACUCCCUUAAAUGCUAUUGAAUCAUCACUUCUUCUAAAGACAGUGACAUCUACAUCAGUGAAAAGACAAUUGUAACCCAUUUUGCAUAAUUGAGAUACAGAAAGCAAAUUGUAAUCUAAUGAAUCUACAAGAAAAACAUUGGAAAUAGAAUGGUCAGGAGAUAUAGCAAUUUUACCCAACCCUUUGACCAAACCUUGAUUUCCAUCCCCGAAUGUGAUAGCUCGUUGGGGAUCUUGGUUUUUCUCGUAGGAGGAGAACAUCUUCUUCUCCCCAGUCAUGUGGUUUGUGCACCCGCUAUCGAUGAUCCAACUUGAGCCCCCGGAUGCAUAAACCUACAAAACAAGUUUAGUUCUUGACUUUAGGUACCCAAACGGUUUUGGGUCCUUUGGCAUUAGAAACAAGAACUUUGGGUACCCAAACACAAGUCUUGGAGCCCUUGUGUUUGCCCCCAACAAACUUGGCAACUACCUUGCCGGAUUUGUUAGUUAAAACAUAUGAUGCAUCAAAAGUUUUGAAUGAAAUAUCAUGAUCAUUUGAUGCAUUAGGAGUUCUCCUUUUAGGCAACUUAGCACGGGUUGGUUGCCUAGAGCUAGAUGUCUCACCCUUAUACAUAAAUGCAUGAUUAGGGCCAGAGUGUGACUUCCUAGAAUGAAUUCUCCUAAUUUUGCUCUCGGGAUAACCGGCAGGGUAUAAAAUGUAACCCUCGUUAUCCUGAGGCAUGGGAGCCUUGCCCUUAACAAAAUUAGACAAUUUUUUAGGAGGGGCAUUAAGUUUGACAUUGUCUCCCCUUUGGAAGCCAAUGCCAUCCUUGAUGCCAGGGCGUCUCCCAUUAUAAAGCAUACUACGAGCAAAUUUAAAUUUUUCAUUCUCUAAGUUAUGCUCGGCAAUUUUGGCAUCUAAUUUUGCUAUAUGAUCAUUUUGUUGUUUAAUUAAAGCCAUGUGAUCAUGAAUAGCAUUAACAUCAACAUCUCUACAUCUAGUACAAAUAGAAGUGUGCUCAACGGUAGAUGUAGAGGUUUUGCAAGACUUUAAUUCUACAACCUUAGCAUGCAAUAUAUCUGUUGGUGACUUGUUCUCAAAAGCUAUGAGUUAAGAACAAGGCAACACAGAAAAUGUUAAUUGGUAAAGUCCUUCGUCCUUCGAAGCAUUAUCUCCCUUCGGAUAUAAUGGAUUUCGGACGAAGGUUAUGAAGGGCAAACCUUCAUAAUCAUAAUAAAAGAUGAAGAAAGAUUCAUAUACAAAAUAUGGAAAAUAGCAUAAUCACUUUAAACAUUAUUAUCAAUUUAUUUUUAUUUAUACUACUUGUGUAAGCAAUAACAAAUUACAAAUGUACCUUCGGCUUGAAGGAAAGUAAGAAUACGAGCGUGAUGCUAGAGCGAAUGCCAAGUCAGCGUCAAUAGUACGGGGAUACUGUUCACCUAUUUAUAGGCACGGGACACAGCCCAUACAGAAUUACAUUCAUGCCCUUUACAUUUGGUAAUAAUUCUAUAGUAAUCCACCGAGGUCUGAAUGGCCUUUUCAUCUUUAAGUCGGUUCCAUUUUCUGCCACCACGCCGAAGCUUUCCCGCUCACAUCUUCGGCGCUGUAUCAACCUUUGUAUUAUUUUGGGCUUCUCCUACUGCGAUACCGACUCGAGUUCGAAGAUACCUGUUUACACAUUAUACUCCAGAAAUACUGUUAAAUCAUGUUUUUGAGGACCUUCGUAAGCCGAAGGCCCCCAACAGUAGCCCCUCACAAUAUUAAUUUGUUAAAAUAAUAAAUUUAGAUUGCGACAUGGACGAAGGCUUUAAGCCGAAGGUCCGAAAAAACACCUUCCCUUUGCUAGAAUAGCAACAUUCACUGACAGGCGAGGUCUUUCAAUUUUCAACGCACUGGGCGUAUAAAUAAGAGCAUACCGCAAGCUCAUUUGGCACGCUUUCUUGCCAUCUGCUCUCGCUCACUCAAUUUUUAGCUCUUGCGCACCAAGAUUUGCUUUAGCUUUUUAAGUUUUGAAGCUUCGGCAAUUGAAAACAGUUUUUUAGCGUUUCCGAAGAUGUCUGAAGAUAAGAAGGCUGCUGCCGAGAUGAAGCUGAGUCUUUCUGAAGAGAAGAAUCUGGGGUUUCUUAUAGCAAUGUCGAAGACCAAUACAGAAAAAAUCACCAAAGAGAUUUUAGAAGGUUUGUCUGAAGAUACUGAUGACAGCGACAGUUAUGAUGUGGAUAGCGACGGUGAAGACUCCGAAGAUCGCCCCUGGCGACCAAGCCAUUAAGUUUUUGGCAAAUCAGGUAUCAAAGAGAAUCAUCUUGUCAACAUGAGAGAAAGAUAUUUCCGGGACUUAUCCAUUGUGAGGGUUGACGAAGGAGAGAAAACUUGUCCGACUCCUGAGGAAAUUGAAGUCGUAGUGUUCCGAAGCUUUUUGAAAGCUGGACUACGAUUUCCCCUGAGCAGCUUUGUCGUAGAGGUGCUUAAAAUAUUCGAAGUCUAUCUUCACCAACUUACCCCCGAAGCAAUCGUAAGGCUGAAUAUCUUCGUGUGGGCCGUGAGAAGCCAAGGUCUGGAACCUGAUGCGAAAAGUUUCUGCAACAUACACGAAUUGUUAUACGAGACAAAACCUUGGGGUAAGGAACAGUAUCACAAUAAUUUUGGCUGCUACAGUUUCGUUUCUCGAUCUGGGUCAAGCUGUCCCGUGCCAACCUUUCGGAAGAGAUGGCCCGACGACUGGAUGACAGAAUGGUUUUAUGUGAAGAAUGACCUGAAAGUACGAGAAGAUAUCAAAGGUAUAAUUAUGCGCCCCAUUUGGCAAAGCUUCGGCCUGCGGAGACCGAAGGUUGAAAUGAAUGAAGCCGCCGAAGAAUGCCAGAGAGCCUUCGGAGUUAUCUGUUCUUUUAUUGGAACAAGAGAUUUGGUCCAGGAGCAUAUUGCCUUCAGAGUAUGGCCGCUUGCGGAAAAAUGGGAAAUGCCGCAAGAAACCAUAAAGGAGGCUGACGAAGGUGGACUUAUCAGGCUGAAGUAUACUUUUAAGUUCGGAGAUAAAUUCGUUGAGCCAGAUGAUGACUGGCUAAAAAGCAUUGAAAAUUUAAGUGAUGAACUGCUUGGGGCUUACUCGAAGGCCGAAGAUACUGCAUUGUCAGCAGCCUUCGGAGGCCGAAAAAAGAAAAGACUGAACCGGGUGUUUGACGCAAUCGGGUUCGUCUACCCUGACUAUCGUUAUCCUAUUCGAGGGCAGAAAAGAAAAAACACAACCUCUGCGAAAGAAGAGGCUGCAACUGCUCCUAAUGAGCCAGCACCGAAAAGAAAAAGGAUAAAAGUCCUCACACAUCGGCCACGCUAUAUUGAACCAGCCUCGGUGCCUGAGUUCGUCGGAGAGACCUCUUCGGCCACCGAAGCUGAAAAGCCAAUCAAGCCAACCUUGCUGCCAGAAGUCACAGAAAUGGCCGAAGCGUCAACAAAAACUGAAUUGGAAGAACCAAAGAUUUUGUUAUCAGAAACCAAAGAGAUGGCCGAAGCGCCAUUGUCAGAAAAAAUGGAAGAAGCAAAAGGAUCAGCUGAAGGAUCAAAAAUAUCAGAAGUUUUAAGUCCUUCAUCAAAUGUUGAGACAACAAAAAUCCAAAAGGGGCCAGCGGUGACUCCGAAAAGAAAGAGAAUGGUCAAUGUAUUAGAUGUUCUAGAAACAAUUAAGUCUUCAAGCACAACUCCGAAGAAGACUGUUGCAAUUUCCGAAGCAAAAACUGAAAUUUCUGAUACUAAGGCUUCAGAGCAAGAAUCUGAAGCUGAAGCUGGGCCCCCAGAGCCCACGAAAGUAAAAUCCUUGGAAACCGAGGAAAAAAGAAUAACGAAGCCAAUUCUUGUUGAAGAAAUCAGUGCUAUUGCCCCCGAAGCAUCUCCCAAAGUCCUUGAUUAUAUUGUCCGUCAUGCUUCGGGGAAAAAAAUAUCAGAAAAAGAAAAGCAAGAGGCCCAGCUUUAUGCCCAAAAACUGAAGUAUCCAAAGGGGGCAUUAAUAUUCAACGGCAGUGGAGAAGAAGACUUUUUGUAUUGUCUUCCUGACAGCAAGGAGAUUUCUGUCUGUCGGGAGAUGAGCAAGAGCUUCGGAUUCCCAACACUAGAAGACGGGCUCUCGGUGCUGUCGAAAAACGAACUGGCCGACAGCCUGGCAUACAAUAGCUUAAAGGUGCAAGAAAUGAGAUCUUUGUAUUUUUUCUUAAGACCAAAAUUUUUCGUUUGCUUAAAUCUAUUGAUGCACACACAUUUUCCUUUGCAGGGCCUUAUACUUAGCAAUGCCCUCAGGGCCCAAAAAGAUGCCGAAGAUGAAGGGUGUGCUAUAGCCCUGAGCAACCUUCGUUCCGAAGUAAUUGAACUGAGGAACGAAGGUCUCGAAAAAGAUAAAAUAUUACAUUCAUUGAUAAAUAGAAUAAAGGAAGACGAAGCUACUUUUAAAGGUCAAGCUGAGGCUCAGAAGCGUGAAAUUGAAGAUCUUCGAAAACAACUGGCCAGAGCCAAAGAGCAACGCAUACUUGAAGAAACGAAGCGAGAACUUAGCGACCAAUGGGCAAAUCAUUUAGAGGGAACUGUUGAAGAGCUUCGCUCAUCCAAGAAAAGAUGUUAUACCAAAUCUAUGGAGUGUGUUAAGAAGUUGAAAGCUAGCUUCGCCAGCGUCGGCGCAUUCUCGAGCGAAGAAAACUUUACUAGAGGCAACCCCGAAGGUCCCAUCGAAUGGAUUACUCACGAAGCUGAGGCCUUCGAGGAAAUUUUAAAUAGCCGCGGAGACAUAUGUGCUUUCUCGGGUGCCAGGGGAAUUGCCACCAUUUUGGAGAAAAAGGGCUGCGAACAUGUAAAGAUUUUAGCGCAAUCCGAAGCUACCUUAUCCUUCGAAGAUGCAAGAGAUCCUUCAGCCGAAGCUAGCAUGGUUGGUGGAAAAUUUUUCACCGAUGUCUGGGAUAAUGGUGGCCGAGAAAUGGCCCGAGAAAUUAUCCGAAAAAGCGAAAAGGGUAUUCACGAUGCUAGAGAAGUAGCUGAGGCUGUUGAAAAAAACGCAGAACCCGAAGAGCAAAUAGGUAUUAACUAAUGGUUUUUAUUGUGUUGUAAUUUUUGAUUUUAAACUUCAUUCACAAUUUGUAAUAGCAAUGUAGCCGUAUCCUGUCCUCCUUCAGAUCCUACUAAAACAUCUCCGGGCCCCCACCCGAAAGGAGAUGACGAAAUUAAAAAGAUGGCUGAAGCUAUCAUGGAUGAAGUUGUUGAUCGGCUACUGAACGAAGCUGCGGAAGUUGUUCUGAGAGAAGAUUAAGUACUAUUGUAAAAACUUCUGGAAUGUAACAUGUGUAACAUCUUGCAGCCCUAAAUAUAAUAUACCUGUUUUUAUUGUUCAGUUCUUUACGAUGCAUGAAAUUUUACAUACGUACCGUUUUUGAGUCGUUGACGAAAAAACACCUUCCCUUCUUUUCAUGCUUCGUGAAGAAGAAUUUUUAUUUAUCUCAACAAUAUCCGUAGUGCUCUGAUGAAUAAUAUCCAAGCUUCGUGAAGAUAUUUUCUGAAGCUACACUUCCGAAGAUCAAUAGUGUAUCUGCUUACGACUUAGCAUGAUUUUCUCCUUUUUUUUUAAAAAAAACAUUCUUCUGAAGAUCAAUAUUGUGUCCCCUUCUUGUGCCAUAUGCAGCAUGAUGUAUGAUGCUUAUGCUAUGCGAAAUGAUGUAAUGAUGUUAUGCUAUGUAAGAUGGUAUUUAUUCCAAAGAUACACGCACAUCCCUGCGAUAAAACACAUAAUCUUUCUGAAUCAGCUUUGACUUUUUGCUAUAAGCCUCCCUUAGGAGCUUCUUCGCCUUUUACUUCAGCGGAGUCAGCGUUUAUUUUUCGCUGUAAGCCUCCCUUAGGAGCUUCUUCGCCUUUUACUUUCAGCGGUAUUCGCGUUGACUUUUCGCGCUUCGCCUUUUACUUUAGGCGGUAUCAGCGUUGACUUUUCGCUGUAAGCUCUGCAUUCCCUUUGGAACGACUUUGGAGCAGAAAACUUACACUGCGCUCCCUUUGGAACGACUUUUUAUGACUUCAUCAAACUUACUCUGCGUUCCUUAGAACGACUUUUUGUUGCUUCGAAGAAUUUUUGAUAAUUCGAAGGUCCUCCUUGUUAUCGCAAAUCUUUAAGCUUUAACAACUUAAGCCUGUGGAGAAAGUAUAUUUUCCUUGUGGCAAACAACGAAACUAUUACAUGAAAUCUAAAAAAUGUCCUUUAUUACGUAGAAAAUAAAACUGAAUGAAAAAGACUGCUAUCCAGGUAGGAUAUUUGUCAAUAGAUGUGCUUUGACUCUGGCACAGUGCUGUUGACUGUGCGAGCUUCGGACUGUUCUCUGAAGUCCCUUUGGUGUGGAGCAUAUUGGCUCCCUUCUGGCUGUUGGCCCUGUUGUAGCGGUGGUGGAGGCGGAGGCUGUUGCCAGGAAGCUUGAGGUUGACUCGCCGAAGCAACAGAAACUGCAGGGUGGUUGCCUACAUAUUCUGGGAUGUAAGGCGAAUGAUACGAAGCAGUGUGCAUAACCUGCUUCAGCUGAGCCUGUUGUGCCGCAACUUCGGCUAUUUCCUUUUGCUUCUGGAUGGUAACAUGGCACAUCCUGGUGGUAUGGCCCUUGUUCUCACCACAGAACAAGCAAAAAAUUCUUCUUGGUUGAUCUCCAAAUCUUCCGCCGAAGCCCCUGGCGCCUCUGCCUCUUGGAGCUGGUGGUCGGAAGGAGCCUUGCUGUUGCCCCGAAGCUUGUGAGGAGCACUGUGGCCUUUGUUGCUGACUCCCCUUAUCAUCAUUUUGAGCAGAGUUAUGGAUUGACCUAACGUGCCUCGGAUAGAAUCUUCCUCCGAAGCCCCUGGUCAUUUCAGAAAACCUGAAAGCCUCCUCCCUUCUUUGAUGAAAAUCAUUAUCGGCCCGAAUAUACUCGUCCAUCUUCUGGAGCAGCUUCUCCAAAGUUUGAGGAGGCUUCCUAGCAAAGUACUGAGCUGAAGGUCCUGGCCAAAGCCCCUUGAUCAUGGCCUCAAUGACAAUUUCGUUGGGCACUGUUGGUGCCUGUGCCCUCAAACGCAAGAACCUUCGGACGUACGCCUGAAGGUAUUCUUCGUGAUCUUGGGUGCACUGAAAUAGAGCUUGAGCAGUGACCGGCUUCGUCUGAAACCCUUGGAAGCUGGUUAACAACAAGUCCUUCAGCUUUUGCCAUGAAGUGAUCGUUCCUGGUCGAAGGGAGGAAUACCAGGUUUGAGCAACACUCCUGACAGCCAUAACAAAAGAUUUGGCCAUGACUGCAGCAUUGCCACCAUACGAAGAUACUGUUGCUUCGUAGCUCAUCAAAAACUGCUUCGGGUCUGAGUGGCCAUCAAAUAUGGGAAGCUGAGGCGGCUUGUAGGACGGAGGCCAAGGUGUAGCCUGCAACUCAGCGGACAGAGGAGAAGCAUCAUCAAAAACAAAAUUCCCAUGAUGGAAAUUGUCAUACCAGUCAUCUUCGUUGAGGAAACCCUCCUGAUGAAGGUCUUGGUGUUGAGGCCUUCAGUGUUGCUCAUCCUGAGUAAGAUGACGAACUUCUUCAGAGGCUUCGUCUAUCUGCCGUUGCAGUUCAGCUAGCCUGGCCAUCUUUUCCUUCUUCCUCUGCACCUGUUGAUGAAGCAUCUCCAUGUCUCUGAUUUCUUGGUCUAUCUCAUCCUCUGGUGGUGUCGGGCUAACAGCCUUCCUUUUCUGGCUUCGGGCCUCCCGAAGGGAGACAGUCUCCUGAUUGUGAUCCAGCGGUUGCAGAGCUGCAGCCCCAGUUGUUGAAGCUUUCUUCGGCGCCAUAGCGAAGGUUUAUGAUCGCCGAAGGUAUUCAAAAACUCAAGGAAUGGAAGUGAGUUCACCGGAGGUGGGCGCCAAUGUUGGUGACUUGUUCUCAAAAGCUAUGAGUUAAGAACAAGGCAACACAUAAAAUGUUAAUUAGUAAAGUCCUUCGUCUUUCGAAGCAUUAUCUCCCUUCGGAUAUAAUGGAUUUCGGACGAAGGUUAUGAAGGGCAAACCUUCAUAAUCAUAAUAAAAGAUGAAGAAAGAUUCAUAUACAAAAUAUGGAAAAUAGCAUAAUCACUUUAAACAUUAUUAUCAAUUUAUUUUUAUUUAUACUACUUGUGUAAGCAAUAACAAAUUACAAAUGUACCUUCGGCUUGAAGGAAAGUAAGAAUACGAGCGUGAUGCUAGAGCGAAUGCCAAGUCAGCGUCAAUAGUACGGGGAUACUGUUCACCUAUUUAUAGGCACAGGACACAGCCCAUACAGAAUUACAUUCAUGCCCUUUACAUUUGGUAAUAAUUCUAUAGUAAUCCACCGAGGUCUGAAUGGCCUUUUCAUCUUUAAGUCGGUUCCAUUUUCUGCCACCACGCCGAAGCUUUCCCGCUCACAUCUUCGGCGCUGUAUCAACCUUCGUAUUAUUUUGGGCUUCUCCUACUGCGAUACCGACUCGAGUUCGAAGAUACCUGUUUACACAUUAUACUCCAGAAAUACUGUUAAAUCAUGUUUUUGAGGACCUUCGUAAGCCGAAGGCCCCCAACAAUAUCAUUCUUAGUUCUAUGGUCGGAAAUAGUAGUAUUGCAAACAUCAAAAUCUUUAGCCUUAGCAAGCAAUUUUUCAUUCUCAAUUCUAAGGCUAGCAAGAGAAAUAUUCAACUCAUCAAUCCUAGCAAGCAAAUCAAUAUUAUCAUCUCUAGAAUUGGAAGUUGAAACAUUACAAAUAUGAGAAUCAACCUUAGCAAUUAAUUUGGCAUUUUCAUUUCUAAGGUUGGUAAUAGUGUCAUGGCAUGUGCUUAGCUCACUAGAUAAUUUCUCACAUUUUUCUAUUUCUAGAGCAUAAGCAUUUUUAACCUUAACAUGUUUCUUAUUUUCCUUAAUUAGGAAGUCCUCUUGGGAAUCCAAAAGGUCAUCCUUUUCAUGAAUAGCACUAAUUAAUUCAUUUAAUUUUUCCUUUUGUUCCAUGUUAAGGUUGGCAAAAAGGGUACGCAAGUUAUCCUCCUCAUCACUAGCAUUAUCAUCACUAGAAGACUCAUAUUUAGUGGAUGAUUUGGAUUUAACCUUCUUCCUCUUGCCGUCCUUUGCCAUGAGGCACUUGUGGCCGACGUUGGGGAAGAGGAGUCCCUUGGUGACGGCGAUGUUGGCGGCGUCCUCGUCGUCGGAGGAGUCGGUGGAGCUCUCGUCGGAGUCCCACUCGCGGCACACGUGAGCAUCGCCGCCCCUCUUCUUGUGAUACCUCUUCUUUUCUCUCCUCUUGCCCUUCUUGUCGUCACCCCUGUCACUGUCACUUGAUAAUGGACAUUUAGCAAUAAAGUGACCGGGCUUACCACACUUGUAGCAAACCUUCUUGGAACGGAAUUUGUAAUCCUUCCCCUUCCGUUGCUUGAGGAUUUGGCGAAAGCUUUUGAUGAUUAAAGCCAUCUCCUCGUUGUCGAGCUUUGAAGCGUCCAUUGGUUGUCUACUUGGUGUAGACUCCUCCUUCUUUUCCUCCGUCGCCUUGAAUGCCACCGGUUGUGCUUCGGAUGUGGAGGGAUCAUCAAGCUCGUUGAUCUUCUUUGAGCCCUUGAUCAUACACUCAAAGCUCACAAAAUUCCCGAUAACUUCCUCGGGAGUCAUUAGUGUGUAUCUAGGAUUACCACGAAUUAAUUGAACUUGAGUGGGGUUAAGGAAGAUGAGUGAUCUAAGAAUAACCUUAACCACCUCGUGGUCAUCCCAUUUCUUGCUCCCGAGGUUGCGCACUUGGUUCACCAAGGUCUUGAGCCGGUUGUACAUAUCUUGUGGCUCCUCCCCUUGGCGAAGACGGAAGCGACCGAGCUCCCCCUCGAUCGUUUCCCGCUUGGUGAUCUUGGUGAGUUCAUCACCCUCGUGCGCGGUCUUGAGUAGAUCCCAAAUCUCCUUCGCAUUCUUCAACCCUUGCACCUUGUUAUAUUCCUCUUUACUUAGAGAGGCGAGGAGUAUGGUUGUGGCUUGGGAGUUGAAGUGCUCGAUUUGGACUACUUCAUCCUCAUCAUAGUUUUCAUCCCCUACAGAUGGUACCUGUGCACCAAACUCAACAACAUCCCAUAUACUUUUGUGGAGUGAGGUUAGAUGAAAUCGCAUUAAAUCACUCCACCUAGCAUAAUCUUCACCAUCAAAUGUUGGUGGUUUGCCUAAUGGGACGGAAAGUAAAGAUGUGUGUUUAGGAAUGCGAGGGUAGCGUAGGGGGAUCUUACUAUACUUCUUACGCUCUUGGCGUUUUGAAGUGACAGAUGCCGCGUCGGAGCCGGAGGUAGAUGCCGAUGAAGAAUCGGUCUCGUAGUAGACCACCUUCCUCAUCCUCUUUUUCUUGUCCCCACUCCGAUGUGGCUUGUGGGAAGAAGAUUUGUCCUUCUUCUCUUUGUGGUGUGAAGAAGAUUUCUUCUCCUUCCCUUUGGAGGAGUCCUUCUUCUUCUCCUUUCUCUUGAUGCGGGACUCUUCCGAUGAAGUGCUCCCGUGGCUUGUAGUGGGCUUUUCGCCGGUCUCCAUCUCCUUCUUGGCGUGAUCUCCCAACAUCACUUCGAGCGGUUAGGCUCUAAUGAAGAACCGGGCUCCGAUACCAAUUGAUAGUCGCCUAGAGGGGGGGGGUGAAUAGGGCGAAACUGAAAUUUACAAAUAUAAACACAACUACAAGCCCGGUUAGCGUUAGAGAUAAUAACGAGUCCGAGAGAAAGGGCGCAAAACAAAUCGCAAGCAAAUGAAGAGUGUGACACGUGGAUUUGUUUUAUCGAGGUUCGGUUCUUGCAAACCUACUCCCCGUUGAGGAGGCCACAAAGGCCGGGUCUCUUUCAACCCUUACCCUCUCUCAAACGGUCCCUCGGACCGAGUGAGCUUCUCUUCUCAAAUCAAAACCGGGAACAAAACUUCCCCGCAAGGGCCACCACACAAUUGGUGCCUCUUGCCUUGAUUACAAUGGAGUUUUGAUCACAAGAAUAAGUGAGAAAGAAAAGAAGCAAUCCAAGCGCAAGAGCUCAAAGGAACACGACAAAUCUCUCUCGCUAAUCACUGAAGCCUUGAGUGGAAUUGGAGAGGAUUUGAUCUCUUUGGUGUGUUUAGAAUUGAAUGCCUAGCUCUUGUAAGUGGUUGAGAAGUGGAAAACUUGGAUGCAAUGAAUGGUGGGUGGUUGGGGGUAUUUAUAGCCCCAACCACCAAACUAGCCGUUUGGUGGGGCUGUCUGUCGCAUGGUGCACUGGACAGUCCGGUGCACACCGGACAGUCCGGUGCACACCGGACAGUCCGGUGCACACCGGACAUGUCCGGUGCGCCAGCCACGUCACCAAAGCCGUUGGGUUCUGACCGUUGGAGCUCUGUCUUCUGGGCCCGCCUGGAUGUCCGGUGGCGCACCGGACAUGCACUGUAGAGUGUCCGGUGCGCCAGCAUGGGCGUGCCUGACUUUUGCGCGCGCUGGCGCGCAUUAAAUGCGUCCGCAGGUAGCCGUUGGCGCCGAAGUAGCCGUUGCCCUGCUGUUACACCGGACAGUCCGGUGUACACCGGACAUGUCCGGUGAAUUAUAGCGGAGCAGCCGUCGCGAAUUCCCGAGGCUGCCAAGUUCCAGAGCCGCGUCCUCUUGGAGCAUCGGACACUGUCCGGUGUACACCGGACAGUCCGAUGAAUUAUAGUGCGCUGGCUCUGAAAAUUCCCGAGGCUGAGGAGUUCAGCGCGAGGUCCCCUGGUGCACCGGACACUGUCCGGUGGCACACCGGACAGUCCAGUGCGCCAGACCAGGGAGCCUUUCGGGAUGCCUUUAGCUCUCUAUUUUGAACCCAACAUUGGUCCUUUUAAUUGGCUUGUUGUGAACCUUUGGCACCUGUAUAACUUAUACACUAGAGCAAACUAGUUAGUCCAAUUAUUUGUGUUGGGCAAUUCAACCACCAAAAUUAUUUAGGAACUAGGUGUAAGCCUAAUUCCCUUUCACCAACCCUCUCUAAGAGGGCCCUGGACCUUCCUUUUAUAGGCGUAAGGAAAGGAUCCAGGUGUACAAUGGGGGGUGUAGCAGUGUGCUAACGUGUCUAGCGGAGGUGAGCUAGCGCCCUAAGUACAUGCCAUCAUGGCAGCCGGAGAGGUUUCGGCACCCGGUUGGUGUGGUGUCGUGGCCGUCGGAGGAGCGCUGGAGCCUGGCGGAAGGACAACUGUCGGGGCUGUCGGGUCCUUGCUGACGUCCUCUUGCUUCCGUAAGAGGGCUGAGAGCCGCCGUCGUCAUAGAGCAUGCGGGGCGCCAUCAUUACUUGUCUGGCAGAGCGAGCCAGAUGGGAUGCCGGUCCUGUUCCCCGUAGCCUGAGUCAGCUUGGGGUAGGGUAAUGAUGGCGCCUCCUGUGACGUGGUCGGUCCGAGCCCUGAGUUGGGCGAGGUGGAGGCUCCUCCGAGGUUGAAGUCGAGUCUGUCUUCCGAGGCCGAGGUCGAGUCCGAGCCCCUGGGUCGGGCGAGGCGGAGACCGUCGGCUGAGGCCAGGGCUGAGUCCGAGCCCUAGGGUCGGGCGAAGCGGAGUUCGUCGUCUUCUGGGGCUGAGCCCGAGUCCAAGCCCUGGGGUCGGGCGAAGCGGAGUUCGUCGUCUUCCGGGGCUGAGCCCGAGUCCGAGCCCUGGGGUCGGGCGAAGCGGAGUUCGUCGUCUUCCGGGGCUGAGCCCGAGUCCGAGCCCUGGGGUCGGGCGAAGCGGAGUUCGUCGUCUUCCGGGGCUGAGCCCGAGUCCGAGCCCUGGGGUCGGGCGAAGCGGAGUUCGUCGUCUUCCGGGGCUGAGCCCGAGUCUGAGCCCUAGGGUCGGGCGAAGCGGAGUUUCCUACGGCGCCUGAGGCCGGACUUGGCUGCUGUCAGCCUCACUCUGUCGAGUGGCACGGCAGUCGGAGCGGCGCAGGCGGCGCUGUCCUCUUGUCAGGCCUGUCAGUGGAGCGGCGAAGUGACUACGGUCACUUCGGCUCUGUCAACUGGAGGACGCGCGUCAGGAUAAAGGUGUUAGGCCACCUUUGCAUUAAAUGCCCCUGCGAUUUGGUCGGUUGGCGUGGCGAUUUGGUCAAAGUUGCUUCUUGUUGAAGACUGGGCCUCGGGCGAGCCGAAGGUGUGUCCGUUGCUGGAGGGGGUCCUCGGGCGAGACGUAGAUCCUCCGGGGUCGGCUGCCCUUGCCCGAGGCUGGGCUCGGGCGAGGCGGGAUCGUGUCCCUUGAAUGGACCGCCUUUGCAGCUUUGUGCUGAUGGGGGUUACCAGCUGAGAUUUAGGAGUCUUGAGGGUACCCCUAAUUAUGGUCCCCGACAAGUAGCAUUUAAGGGAGUGUUAGUGGGUCAGCUAUACUUAGUUGAUUUUAAUAGAGCUGAACUCGACACUUGCUUAAUUGCUAAGACUAACAUGGGUUGGCUCUGGCAUCACCGACUAGCCCACGUUGGAAUGAAGAAUCUUCACAAGCUUCUAAAGAGAGAGCACAUUUUUGGACUAACAAAUGUUCAUUUUGAGAAAGACAGGAUUUGUAGCGCAUGUCAAGCAGGGAAGCAAGUUGGUGUUCAUCAUCCACAUAAGAACAUCAUGACGACUGAUAGUCCGCUUGAGCUACUCGACAUGGAUCUAUUCGGCCCGAUAGCUUACAUAAGCAUCAGCGGGAGUAAGUAUUGUCUUGUUAUUGUGGAUGAUUUUUCUCGCUUCACUUGGGUAUUCUUUUUGCAGGAUAAAUCCCAAACCCAAGAGACUUUAAAGGGAUUCUUGAGACGGGCACAAAAUGAGUUCGGAUUGAGAAUAAAAAAGAUAAGAAGCGACAACGGGACGGAGUUCAAGAACUCUCAAAUAGAAGGAUUUCUUGAGGAUGAGGGCAUUAAGCAUGAGUUCUCUUCUCCCUACACACCACAACAAAAUGGUGUAGUGGAGAGGAAGAAUAAAACUCUACUUGACAUGGCGAGGACCAUGCUUGAUGAGUACAAGACUUCAGACCGGUUUUGGGCAGAAGCAAUCAACACCGCUUGCUACGCCAUCAACCGUCUCUACCUUCACCGAAUUCUCAAGAAGACAUCAUAUGAACUCCUCACCGGUAAAAGCCCAAUGUUUCAUAUUUUAGAGUCUUUGGUAGCAAAUGCUUUAUUCUUGUUAAAAGAGGUAGAAAAUCUAAAUUUGCUCCUAAGGCUGUAGAAGGCUUUUUACUUGGUUAUGACUCAAACACAAGGGCAUAUAGAGUCUUUAACAAGUCCACUGGACUAGUUGAAGUUUCUUGUGACAUUGUGUUUGAUGAGACUAACAGCUCUCAAGUAGAGUGAAGCGUCCCAAUCCUCUGGGACUCAAAUGUGAUACAAUUACUAGUCCUAGGAGGCUAGUAAACACAUUUAUACAUCAGAUGAUUCCAGAUAUGCUUAAACGAGACAAACCUAUAAAGGUGGCGAUCAACUUUAGAGUUGGUCCACAACUCGGGACAUAUCAUCAGAGUGGGGCUGAAGUAGCCCGAUAUACGCAGCGAAGCAAAUCAGCGGUCCAACAGCCACAGGCAAGGUUGGGAACAGUCGUAACUCUUACAUGAUCUCCUUUUCUAAAAAACAACAAAUAAGCAAGGGUGAGUACAAACGUACUCAGCAGCCCACCUUCACCCGCGGAAUGGGGAAAUCAGAUAUAAUGCAUGGAAUAUGUGGAGCUCAGGAUAUUUUGCAGAAACAACAAUAUUUUAUGCAGGGUUGUUUUGAAAAAACAUUUUGUAUUUUGCAAAGCGCAUCCUCUCCAAAAGGAGCAGGAAGUUUUUCAGUAUUAGAACAAAAUCCCGUGGACUAAACCAUCCAGGUAUCUCAGUAGUUUCCCACUGGUUUUCAUUUUCAAAAACAGCUACUGGACUUCCCGUCCACCAUAGCUCACGGCUCAACCGCCGGACCUUUUAAAAACCACUUUUCAAAAGCACCCUUUUUUUGAAAACAAAACACUAAUUGCCAUACCACACCAGACUCGUCCAUUCCUAUGGACACAGACUAUUCUAAUAGGUGUGAACUCUGCGCAGAGGUGUACACUUUACCCACUAGUCCGGCUCUGCGAUCUCAUGGCCAAUGAGAUCCGAAUCCGAAUCUCUUUCUUUCCUCACACGUCCUAACCUUAACGGUUAUACCAGAAGGAGUCAGGCCACCGCCAUGUCCAAACCGGACAAAACAUUCCCCCUCCUUAUCGUCCCGGUGCUCCCCAGCCUUCAUAACCCUAAGGUUGGACCGUACGAGUUUAGAUUGAGUGAUUGUCCACACAGUCUCGAGUGGUUGUACUUAUCAUGAGUACAGGUAGUGAAAGAUGACAAACCGGUCCUUAUGUGAGGGGACAAUCCUUCUGCUCACACCUAAACCAGCUGAGCCAUCACCUUGGGCCCUCCCCUAAACCAGGGAGUCCCUGAUCAUCCCUACUCAAAGGUGAUAAGGGUGAAAACCCUUCAUCAUACACAUUUUGAAAAGCAUUUUCUUUUGAAAACUCACACCUUUUCUCAAAUCAUUUGGAACAAAUAUAUCAAGGAUUGAUUGCGGAAGCGGCUGGGUGGCCAUAAUAACUUGUCUCAAAAUCAUAUCAUGCAUAAAAUAACAGACUGAGUGUUGUGGUUGAAAAAUCAUAGGUAAUUUAUGCAUCAAAGGGAUCCAGUGAGCUUGUCGUGCUUAUCCGGCGAAGGGGAAAGGGGAGCUCACGGAACUGGCUUCUGGCUCCACCGCCUGGCGUAGACUUGCAAAUCUGGCCUCCACGAGACGGCACGAACGCUCCAAUAACUAUGCAACAUGAACAAGCAAACAUACAAACCAGCAAGUAUACCAACAAAUAUUUAGUAUAGUGGUCAGAAUAGCGACAUAUGGAUGGGUAGAGUCUUGAGUAGAAUCUAUGUCAUGUGGUGUUGUGAUAUUACUGGUGGUGGAGCGGAGGUGCUUACCAGGAGGGUGGACUGGAGGCGAAGCGACACUAUGCGUGUAGCCGGCAGAGCGGAGUAACUGAGUGGGUGGGGUGUUUGCCUUGGCUGAGGGUGUUGAGUGUGUGUGGAGAGGGAGAGGGUAGCUGGGUGUAUUUAUAGCUAAGUGUAUGUGGUGUAGCACAGUGAAGUUCACUGUUGGUGAGAAUAGUGACGAAUGAAUCGUCUGACUUAGUAUGAACAGGAGAGUUAUAGGCAGAAUAUGGGACAAGAGUAUUUUGGGAGUUUUCUGGAAUAUGGACCAGGCUUAAGGGAUGACAUGGUUGGAUAGGGAAUAAUUCGAUAAGAAUUUAGAAAUGAGAAUUAUUGGAAUCUGAGUUUGGAAGUCUGGUUCGAAGGAAUCUCAAAGUUAAGCGGGCUCAACUUGGAGAAACCUGGGAUGGGUGAGCAGAUGGGAAGUUCCCUACUGGAAGGAAAAUCAUAGUCACCGGAGUUCGUAUGACUGGAAUAUGGGUCUGACUGGUCUUAGGUGGACUGGACAACAUGAUGGAUGAGUAGUUGAAAUUUUGGGGUGAUCGGAUGAACGGUGAAUAGUAACAGUGAUGAAUAGUAACGAUGAAUAGUGAUGGUGAAUGGUAAUGGCGAAUAGUAAUGGUAAAUAGUGAUGUGAAUAGUUCGUAUGACCGAACGAUGAACGAUGAAUAGUGACGAUGAACGAACGAUGAACGAUGAAUAGGAACUAUGAACGAAUGGACGAACGUUCGAAUGACCGGACGAACGAACGAUCGGAAUUUCGGUAGCAUAACGGCAGGACAAAGAUUAUCUGGAAGAACGAUGAAUAGGGACUAUGAAUGAACGAUGAAUAGGAACUAUGAACGAAUGAUGAACGAUCGAAUGAUCGAACGAACGAACGAUCGAAAUGUCGGCAACAUAACGGUAGGAAAAAUAUUAUUUGGACGAACGAACAGACGAACGAACCAUGAACGAUCGGAUGAACGAUCGAACGAUCGGAUGAACGAUCGAACGAUCGGACGAACGAACGAACAAACUAAGAACAGAGGGACGAACGAUCGAAGAACGACCGAACGAUCCUUGUGCUAGUGUGUGCUUGUGUGGGAAGUGGAGUGGGUGUGUGUGGGGGGGGGGGAAGAGAGUUGCCAUGAAAUGGCUUAGGGUGGGAUGAGUGGAGGCCCUUGCCCCUCUAUUUAUAGCCAUGGUGGGGGGAUUAGGGGGAGGGAUGUGAGGAUUAGUGGGAGGAUGAGAGGAUUAGUGGGAGGUUAGCAUGUAUUUGUCUUGUAUAAGUGAGAUUAGCUUGUAGAGCUCACCGUAUGACACUGGAGGCAUACAUAUACAUAUGAGCAUGAGGAAAGUUAUGAAGAAAAUAUUUAUAGGGACUUGAAAAAUGAUUCUGAAGGUAUUUCUCACAAGGAAAAAUGCUUGGAGAUAUAUCAGUGGAAUAUCUGGGCAAUAUUUCUGGAAAUAACUUGAAGGGGAUUACUCGGGAAAUAUCUAGGCGGUAUUUCUGGAAGAAUUUGAGGGGGAUCACUGGAGAAAUAUUUGUAUUUUGAGGAGGAUUUUGGAGAGAAUAUAGACCACUAUAAUUUAUUUGUUGAUAUCAACUCGCAAACAAACAUUUUGAAAUGAAAUUUGAAAUUCAUUUUGAAUUUAGAGCGAGUUUGAGAAAAUUUCAAGAUUUGAAUUUUUGGGAUGCUACAAAUCUACCCCACUUAAAAGGAAUCUCGUCCUCGAGAUUCGACUCAGAAGGGUUAUGUGUAUAGCUUUACUUCAGCUACAUAUCUUCACUUUGCAGACGCUUCGAGGAGAUGGAACUUCAACAAAAUCUGGCCUUCGAGGAUCAUCCGGUUGCCGAUUGCAAACGCUGAUUCUGGCUACUCAAAGAUCAUCUUCAAGCUUCUAGCUUUCGCUUGGCAGCUAGCUUAUUGGAGAAGCAUCGAUGCCAACACACAAACCUUCUUCUUGCGAACUUAUCCAUGGGUCCCUUCCUUGAUUGGUCUUCUGGUGCUUCAUCAACGGAACUUGGGUGACCACUUCUCAUCCAAAAACUUAUAAGCUUCGAUGAUCUGGUCCUCCACAAGCUUGCUAUAGGCCUUCUUCUUUUUCUCCAUAGCAGGAACCUUACUGGAACACUACCCCACUUAAAAAGAAUGAGGGUAGAGCUCUUGAAUCUUGGGGAUUUGAACUCCUUGAAGUACCUCAUAACAAGGGUGUUACGGGGCCUUCUUCUGCUGUUGCUGCUUGAGCAGGAUGCGGAGAGAUGACUGACACAAGGUUGAUUCUGGGAGAACCUUCUUCUCUUCUCUUCACUAUCUUCUUUUCUCUUCUCAUUGCUCCUUUCUUUAUCUUUGCUCUUCCCACUGGAUGAUUCUAUCAAAGAGUAUUACCAUCAUACAGAGGAGGAAACCAAACACUAUGAACCAUGUACAACAGUCUUCAACCCAAGAAUCACCAAGCAUUGUGAUCUUAGGGGCGAAGGAGUGGAAAAUGGAGUUGCUUGUGAUUUGGCAGAGGGGAUUUUAUCAGGUGGGUGUGCUUUUCUUUGAGCGAGAUGGGAGUUGAGGGAGCUGGUGGGGGGGUUUUAUUAACGAGCGGGGGUGCUCGGGGGGUGUGGAGUGGUAGUGAUGGAGCAGGUGACAUGAGGCAGUAGGUGUGACAAGGGGAGGGGGGACGGUGUUGCUGGCGGUGAUGGCGGCGGUGGGUGUGCUGGAAAGGGGAAGUGGGGCGGUGGUGGUGCGCAUGGAGGCGGGCACGCGUGCGGGGGGCACGGGUGAGUGGUGGGGUCAUUGACCCUGAUGUUUGUGGUCUAUGGUUCCAAGAAUCUUUGCCUCUCUGUAUGGUAAUAACUCCUUUUGUCCUCUUUUCCUGUUUACUUUGACUCAGGGGCAGUGCUUUGAUUCUCACGGUCGGUCCUUUUGAGUGAGCGGCUGGAUAGGUUUCUUCUGUAGCUUAUUCCUGGCUUCAAGGUUAAGCUUCCUGGUAUCUUCUUGGGUAAGGUGCUUUUCUCUUGAGAUGGGUUAAGAUGAGAAUGGAAGCAUAAGGUAAGGAUUAGCUCUAAUUUGUGAUUUAUGUUUUACAAAAGAUGUUUGGCAAAGUGGGAGGGUUGUUUUUGAAAAUAAAAUUUGAUGGUGGAUCCAUCAGGGCCUUGAUGGAUUCAACAUCUGGAAAAGAUGUACCUCUGCCAGGUACCAAACUUUGGGUUUGAAAUGAUUAAGCUGAGACCGGGCGGGUGACUUGCACGAGAAGAGAGUCUCGGUGUAGUGUCUCCGUCUGAGUCGAUUAAGGACCGUCUCGAUGUAGGCUUGAUGAUCGAGGACCCUUUAACUGGUCACAUGCCUCGUCAUGGGUAAGCCUUGCCUCGGGCAGACUAAGGCCGGAAUAAGAUAACACGAAAUGGGCGUGGAGCGGUGGCGAGAGUAGCGUGUACCCUCCGUGGCAAGAGGCUGGACGGUGGUGUAGCUGUGCUCUCGGUUUGCGUGAACCUGAUCCGGUCUUAAGAACCCCGGUGGUGGGUUGACAUAUGCAAGGGUUAAGUGCUACAUAUGUCGUGUGAUUGGAGAUCCUCAGCUGAGUAUAAUCGAUUCGGAUCGCCGUACCUUCGCGGUUAUGAAGACUUGGUCACUGCCCUACACGUAGCAUUUGUUGGGGACUUGUUCUUAAAUGCUAUGAGUUAAGAACAAGGCAACACAGAAAAUGUUAAACAUUAAGAUCCUUCGUCCUUCGAAGCAUUAUUUCCCUUAGGAUAUAACGAUCCCCGGACGAAGGUCAUGAAGGAUUAACCUUCAUCACUAUAAUAUACAUUAGUAAAAGACGAAGCAUAUGAAACAUAAAAGAUAGCGUGAAUAACCGUAUAACAUUAUUUAUUUAACUUUAUUAACUCAUCAUAAAGGAAUAGAAACAAUAUUGAAUUAUAAAUGUACCUUCGGCUUGGAGGGAAAUGAAAAUACAAGUGUGACGCAAAAGCAAAUGCCAAGUCCGCGUGAACAGUACGGGGGUACUGUUCACCUAUUUAUAGGCACGGGGUACAACCCAUACAAAAUUACAUACAUGCCCUUUACAUUUGGUGAUAAUUCUAUAGCAUUCUAUCGAGGUCUAAAUGGCCUUUUCAUCUUUAAGUCGGUUCCCCUUUCUGCCAACAUGCCGAAGCUUUCCUGCUUCACAGCUUCGGCACUGUGUCAACCUUCGUAUCUUUUGAGCUUCUCCCUUUCCGAUUCAAGUCCGAAGAUACCUGUUCACACAUUAUACUCCAGAAACAUUGUUAAAUCAUGUUUUUGAGGACCUUCGGAAGCCGAAGGCCCCCAACAGUAGCCCCUCGCAAUAUUAAUUUGUUUGAAAUAAUAAAUUCAGAUUGCGAUAUGAACGAAGGCUUUAUGCCGAAGGUCCGAAAAAACACCUUCCCUUUGCUAGAAUAGCAACAUUCAAUGACAAGUGGGGUCUUUCAACUUUCAACGCAUCAAGCGUAUAAAUACGGCCAUACCGCAAACUUAUUUUGCACGCUUUCUGGCCAACCACUCCUGCUCACUCAUUUUUUAGCUCUUGUGCACUGUGAUCUGCUAAGUUUUUAGCUUUGAAGCUUCGGCUUUUAGAAACAGUUUUUUAGCGCUUCCGAAGAUGUCUGAAGCUGCUAAGAAGGCUGCUGCUGAGAUGAAGCUGAAUCUUGAUGAAGAGAAGAACCUAGGGUUUCUUAUAGCGAUGUCGAAGUCCAACACAGAAAAGAUUACCAAGGAAAUUCUGGAGGGGCUGUCUGAAGAUACUGGUGACAGUGAAAGUUAUGAUAUGGACAGCGGUGGCGAAGACUCCGAAGAUCGCCCCUGGCGACCAAGCCAUUCAGUUUAUGGUAAGUCAACUAUCAAAGAGAAUCAUCUUGUUAAUAUGAGAGGAAGGUAUUUCCGGGAUCUGUCUAUUGUGAGGGCGGACGAAGGGGAAAAAACUUGUCCACACCCUGAAGAAAAUGAAGUUGUGGUGUAUCGAAGCUUUUUGAAAGCUGGAUUGCGAUUCCCCUUGAGCAGCUUCGUCGUGGAGGUGUUGAAAAUCUUCGAAGUCUAUCUUCAUCAACUUACUCCCGAGGCAAUUAUAAGGCUAAAUAUCUUCGUGUGGGCCGCGAGGAGUCAAGGUCUGAAGCCUGACGCAAGAAGCUUUUGUAAUGUUCAUGAAUUAUUAUAUGAAACAAAGCCUUGGGGCAAAGAACAGUACCAUAACAACUUUGGCUGCUAUAGCUUCGUUUCUCGGUCCGGGGCAAGCUGUCCCGUACCAACCUUUCGGAAGAGAUGGCCCGGGGAUUGGAUGACAGAAUGGUUUUAUGUGAAGAAUGACUUAUCAGCACGAGAAGACAUCAAAGGUAUAAUUAUGCGUCCUAUUUGGCAAAGCUUCGGCCUUCGGAGGCCGAAGGUUGAAAUGAACGAAGCCGCCGAAGAGUGCCAAAGAGCCUUCGGCAUUGUCUGCUCUUUUAUAGGAACAAGGGACUUAGUACAAGAACAUAUCGCCUUCAGGGUGUGGCCGCUUGCUGAGAAAUGGGAAAUGCCACAAGAAACCAUAAAAGAGGCCGACGAAGGUGAGCUUGUGAGACUGAAGUACACGUUCAAAUUUGGAGAUAAAUUUAUUGAGCCAGAUGAUGAGUGGUUGAAAAGCAUUGACAAUUUAAGUGAUGAGCUACUCGGGACCUACUCGAAGGCUGAAGAUAAUGCAAUGUCAGCAGCCUUCGGAGGCCGAAAAAAGAAGAGACUGAAUCGGGUAUUUGAUGCCAUUGGGUUUGUCUACCCUGAUUACUGCUAUCCCAUUCGAAGGCAGAAGAGAAAAAACACAAUCUCUGCAAAAGAAGAAGCUGCAGCUGCUCCUAGCGAGCCAGAACCCAAAAGGAAAAAGAUAAAGGUUCUUACGCAACGGCCUCGUUAUAUUGAACCAGCUUCGGUGCCGGAGUUUACCGGGAAGACUUCUUCAGCCACCGAAGCUGAAAAACUAAUCGAGCCAGCCUUGUUGCCAGAGAUCGCAGAAACGGCCGAAGUGCCACCAAAGAUAGAAUCAGAACAAUCAAACAUUUUGUUGUCAGAAACAAAAGAGAAAACCGAAGCGCCGCUCACAGAAAAAAUUGAGGAGGUAAGAAAAGCAACUGAGGGCUCCAAAACAUCAGAAGUUUUGAGUCCUACAGCAAUCAUUGGGACAGCAAAAAACCAAAAGGGGCCAUCAGUGACCCCAAAAAGGAAAAGAAUGGUAAAUGUACUAGACGUCUUGGAGACAAUUAAGUCUUCAAGCACAACUCCAAAAAAGAGUGUUGAAGUUGCUGAAGCUUCUACUGAAGCUUCGGCUCAACAAGCUGAAGCUGAAGCUGGGCCUUCAGAGCCCUUCAAAGAACAUCCUUUCGAAGCAGUAAAAAUUCCGGAACCAAUAUUAGUUGAAGAAACGGACACCGUCAUCCCCGAAGCACCUGCCGGCAUGCAUGAUUACAUCAUACGACAUGCUUCGGGGAAAAAGCUAUCUGAGGAAGAAACUCAUGAGGCCAACCAUUAUGCAAAGGAGCUGAAAUAUCCGAAGGGGGCAGUAAUAUUCAAUGGAACAAAUGAAGAUGACUUCUUAUACUGCCUGCCUGAUAACAAAGAGCUAUCCGUCUGCCGAGAGAUGGCGAGAAGCAUAGGCUUUCCGAAGCUUGAAGCUGGGUUAAGUGCCAUGACGAAAGAGGAUCUCGCAGACAGCCUCGCGUACAACAGCCUGAAGGUACGGGAAUUAAACACUUGAGAAAAAAAACCCCCUAUCUCUUUUUUUUACGCAACUCAUUCCUUUUUUCUUAUAUGAAUUCUUUUUUCAUAUAGGGCCUGAUCCUAAGCAACGCGUUAAGAGCGCAAAAAAGCGCCGAAGAUGAAAGUUAUGAAAUUGCGUUUAAUAAUUUACGCUCCGAAGUUAUCAAACUGAGAAACGAAGCUUUGGAAAAGGAUAAAAUUUUACUUACACUGGUAGAUAAAGUGAAAAAAGACGAAGCUGCUUCAAAGGCCCAGGCCGAAGCUCAAAAACGCGAGAUUAAAGAUCUUCAGAAACAGCUGGCUAGAGUUAAAGAGGAGCGCGCGCUUGAGGAAACGAAACGAGAACUUAGUGAUUUUAUGGUCAACAAAUUGGAAUCAAAAGUUAAGGAGCUUCGCACAUCUCAGGGGAAAUGCUAUGUCAAAUCUGUAGAAUGUGUGAAUAAAAUUAAAUCCAGCUUCGCCAGCGUAGGCGCCUUUUCCAGCGAAGAGAAUUUCUCUCGAGGCAAUCCCGAAGGUCCGCUGGAAUGGAUUAGCCACGAAGCAGAGGCCUUCGAAGAGAUUCUGAACAGUCGUGGCGACAUAUGUGCUUUUUCGGGCGCCAGAGGAAUUGCUUCCGUCUUAGAGAAGAAAGGUUGCGAACAUGUAAAAUUUUUAGCUCAAUCCGAAGCUACCUUAUCUACCGAAGACAUCAAGGACCCCUCGGCCGAAGCGAGCGUGGUUGGUGGCAAAUUUUUUACUGAUAUCUGGAACGACGGCGGCCGAGGAAUGGCGCGAGAGAUCAUUGAAAGAAGCGAAAAAGGCAUUCACGAUGCUAGAAGAGUAGCAGACGCUGCCGAAAGGAGUAGGGAGCCCGAAGGACAGUUAGGUACCAACUAGUCGUUCUUGUUGCGUUGUAAUUUUCAUUUUAAACUUUGCUCACGAUUUGUAAAAAUACUGAAGAAGUGUUCUCUUCGCUCAGAAACUGUUGGACGAUCUGCCGACCCCCACACAAAAGGGGAUGAAGAAAUUAAUCAAAUGGCCGAAACUAUCAUGGACAAGGUUGUUGACCAACUUCUGAAUGAAGCCGCCGAAGCAGUAUUGAGGGAAGAUUAGGUACUAUUUGGAAAAAACAUUUAAAGUGUAAUCUAUGCAACACUUUGUACAUUUGAAUGUAAUAUACAAGUCUCUUUUCAUUAUUGAAUUCUUUACGAUGCAUGAAACUUUAAAUACAUACCACUUUUGAGCCUUCGGCGAAAAAACACCUUCCCUUCUUUUCAUGCGUCGUGAAGAAGAUAGCCUUCGUCAAAAUUAUUCUGAUGAAUGACAUCGAUGCCUCGUGAAAACAUUUUCCGAAGCUAUUUUCCGAAGCUAUGCAACUUUGAUAUUGAUCUGAUAAAGUUCGCCCAUGUUUCGUAAAAAUAUUCCCCGAAACUGUAUUCCGAAGCUAUACAAUUUCAAUGUCACUUUUUCAAAGCAUCCCUUCGAAGGUUGAGAGUGUCCCCUUCUCUUGCCAAAUGCGAUAUGAUGUAUGAUGCUUAUGCUAUGCAAAAUGAUGUGAUGAUGUUAUGUUAUGCAUGUGACAUGUGUUCCGAAGAUACACAUAAAAUAUAUUCGUAAGCUCUGCAUUCCCUUAGGAACGUCUUUGGAGCUUCUUCGUCUUUUACUUAGACGGCAUCAGCGUUGACUUUUCGCUGUAAGCCUCCCUUAGGAGCUUCUUCGUCUUUUACUUAGACGGUAUCAGCGUUGACUUUUCGCUGUAAGCCUCCCUUAGGAGCUUCUUCGUCUUUUACUUAGACGGUAUCAGCGUUGAUUUUUCGCUGUAGGCUCUGCAUUCCUUUAGGAACGACUUCUGAGCAGAAAACUUACGCUGCGCUCCCUUUGGAACGACUUUUUGUGACUUUAUAAACUUACUCUGCGUUCCUUAGAACGACUUUUUGUUACUCCGAAGGAUUUUUAGUCCGAAGGUCCUUCUUGGUAACGGAAGAAAUUUUAGGCUUCGGCAACUUAGGCCUGUGAAUCAAAUAAAUUUUUCUCGUGGAAACAACGAAAUUAUUACAUGGAAACUAUCAAUGUUUUUUGCUUCACAGAAAACAAAACUGAAUAGAAAAGACUGCUAUCAAAGGUAGGAUAUGUCAAUAAAUGUGCUUCGACUCUGGCACAGUGCUGUUGACUGUGCGAGCUUCGGACUGUUCUCUGAAGUCCCUCUGCUGUGGAGCGUAUUGACUCCCUUCUGGCUGUUGACCUUGCUGCAAUGGAGGUGGAGGCGGAAGCUGCUGCCAGGAAGCUUGAGGUUGACUUGCCGAAGCUACAGAAGCCGCAGGGUGGUUGUCUAUGUAUUGUGGGACAUAAGGCGGAUGAAACGAAGCAGUAUGCAUAACCUGCUUCGACUGAGCUUGUUGAGAUGCAGCUUCGGCUAGUUCCUUUUGCUUCUGGAUUGUAACAUGGCACGUCCUAGUGGUGUGGCCCUUGCCCUCUCCACAGAAUAGGCAAAACAGUCUCCUUGGCUGAUCUCCGAAUCUUCCGCCGAAGCCCCUGGCGCCUCUGCCUCUUGGAGCUGGUGGCCGAAAGGAAGUUUGUUGUUGCCCCGAAGCCUGUGAGGAGCACUGCGGCCUGUUUUGCUGACUCCCCUUAUCAUCAUUCUGAGUGCUGUGAAUGGAACGGACAUGCCUCGGGUAGUAUCUCCCUCCGAAGCCCCUGGUCAUCUCAGAAAAUCUGAAGGCCUCCUCCCUUCUCUGGCGAAAGUCAUUGUCGGCACGAAUGUACUCAUCCAUCUUUUGGAGCAAUUUCUCCAAGGUCUGAGGAGGCUUCCGAGCAAAGUAUUGAGCUGCAGGUCCAGGACGAAGCCCCUUGAUCAUGGCUUCGAUAACGAUUUCAUUGGGCACCGUUGGUGCCUGCGCCCUCAAUCGUAAGAACCUUCGGACAUACGCCUGAAGGUAUUCUUCGUGAUCCUGAAUACACUGGAAGAGGGCUUGAGCUGUAACCGGCUUCGUUUGAAAUCCUUGAAAGCUGGUCAGUAACAUAUCCUUCAGCUUCUGCCAUGAAGUGAUUGUUCCUGGCCGAAGGGAGGAAUACCAGGUCUGAGCAACAUUCCUGACGGCCAUGACGAAAGACUUCGCCAUGACUGCAGCGUUGCCCCCGUACGAAGACACUGUUGCUUCGUAGCUCAUCAAGAAUUGCUUCGGGUCGGAGUGGCCGUCAAACAUGGGGAGCUGGGGUGGCUUAUAGGAUGGAGGCCAAGGAGUAGCCUGCAGCUCAGCAGACAGAGGAGAAGCAUCAUCAAAAACAAAAUUUCCCUGAUGGAAAUUAUCAUACCAGUCGUCUUCGUUGACGAAGCCCUCCUGAUGAAGGUCUUUCUGAUGAGGCCUUCUGUUCUGCUCAUCGUGAGUGAGAUGGCGAACUUCCUCAGAAGCUUCGUCAAUUUGCCUUUGCAACUCAGCUAGGCGGGCCAUCUUCUCCUUCUUCCUCUGCACUUGUUGAUGUAGCAUCUCCAUCUCUCUGAUUUCUUGGUCUAGCUCUUCUUCCUCAAGCGUCGGGCUAACAGCUUUUCUCUUCUGGCUUCUGGCCUCCCGAAGAGAGACGGUCUCCUGGUUGUGGUCCAGCGGUUGUAAUGCUGCAGCCCCAGCCGCUGAAGCUUUCUUCGGCGCCAUAGCGAAGGUCUAUAGCUUCCGAAGGUGUUCACGAAGACUCGAAGUGGAAGUGAGUUCACCGGAGGUGGGCGCCAAUGUUGGGGACUUGUUCUUAAAUGCUAUGAGUUAAGAACAAGGCAACACAGAAAAUGUUAAACAUUAAGAUCCUUCGUCCUUCGAAGCAUUAUUUCCCUUAGGAUAUAACGAUCCCCGGACGAAGGUCAUGAAGGAUUAACCUUCAUCACUAUAAUAUACAUUAGUAAAAGACGAAGCAUAUGAAACAUAAAAGAUAGCGUGAAUAACCGUAUAACAUUAUUUAUUUAACUUUAUUAACUCAUCAUAAAGGAAUAGAAACAAUAUUGAAUUAUAAAUGUACCUUCGGCUUGGAGGGAAAUGAAAAUACAAGUGUGACGCAAAAGCAAAUGCCAAGUCCGCGUGAACAGUACGGGGGUACUGUUCACCUAUUUAUAGGCACGGGGUACAACCCAUACAAAAUUACAUACAUGCCCUUUACAUUUGGUGAUAAUUCUAUAGCAUUCUAUCGAGGUCUAAAUGGCCUUUUCAUCUUUAAGUCGGUUCCCCUUUCUGCCAACAUGCCGAAGCUUUCCUGCUUCACAGCUUCGGCACUGUGUCAACCUUCGUAUCUUUUGAGCUUCUCCCUUUCCGAUUCAAGUCCGAAGAUACCUGUUCACACAUUAUACUCCAGAAACAUUGUUAAAUCAUGUUUUUGAGGACCUUCGGAAGCCGAAGGCCCCCAACAGCAUUCCACUAAAGACAAUGGGCUUUUGUAAAAAAAUUGGCUAGUGCAGGACCAGUGAUUGAACUAGGGUAGAAAGAACUCUAGUGCAGGUAAUUUUUACUUAACUUGACAAAUUAAAACUGGAUUUUUAAGGAUCCACUUUAGUAAGCAUUUCUGCAAAACAGAGUCUUUGAAUAUUGAAAAGCCUUACCUUGACUCCCACAUAACCAGCAUACCCUUGAGAGUCUUUUCUUUAGUCAGGUAAGACUUGCUGAGUAUUCCAUACUCAGGGUUUAUCCCUUCGUUGUUUUUAGGUGAGGAAGUAGCAGACUUUUGCUACUUCUGUGCCAAGGUGGUUCCAAAAGAAGAAAAUCAAGACUGAAGUGCGGGAGGAUUCGAUCCUCCACUUAAGAUCUUUUGCUUUUAGCUUCUCGGGAGGAGUUUGUGCCUCCCUGGUUUGUAUAAUAUUACUUCUAUGCACUCACUUUUAGACUGGUCUGUAAUAACCUAACUCAAGCUUGCUUUUGAAAUAAAUGUAAGAUUAUGUAAUUCGCUUCCGCAUUUCUUCAUCUCCGAUGUUCUGUAAUGUCUACAAGAUGGGUGAGACGUUCCUGGUGAGGUAAGGAAAGAUACCGAACUUGUCAAGUAGUUCAGGGGCACCUACAGGGUUGUCUGAUGUCCGUUGGACAAGGACAACUGUAGGUGGGCCUAAUUACUUGGGAGGUUCCGUCACAGCUGGUAUCGGAGCGUAGCCCUUCUUGGCAGAUAUUAUGAGGCAUCUUCAAAAGAAUUUUCGAAAGUCUUACCUAGAAAUUCUUUUCUCUUCUUACCUAAGUAUUCUGAAGAAGUUUAUCUUAAAGACCAGAUAGGAAGAGUGCAACAUAUAGAAGGUUGAAUCGACUAAGGUUGAUUCUGUAAUUAUACAUGCAUCAUGCUAAGAAUCAUACUAAUAACAUUUUCCCCCUUAGAAAAGAUGCCGCCACGUACCAGGCUAACGGCACGCAAGUCUACGGGACCAAUUGGGGUGCCUCGGCAUCAAUUGGCUCCCCGACAUGAAAGCAGCAGUAGUGGGAGUAACGACCCCAUCGGAGACCUUGAAGCUCGUGUGAGUCGACUUCAGGCAGCACUGCAACAAAGGACUGAUGCUUGGGUCGCUGACGGUGAUAGAAUCAACGAACUGAGAAGGGACAUCCGACACUUGCAGGAUCAACUCGCUGAUCGAGACUUAGCACUUGACUGGGCCGUACAGUCUCGUUUGCUAAUGUGUGCUAAGGAAGCAAGGGCUCAGGCCCGAGUUAAAGAACUUAGCUCGACUGUUGAUGACCUGCAGGUUUACUGCAAUACGUUGCACGAGGAAGUCCAUAUACUAUACUCACAACUACACCCAAGCGAGCCUACACAACCUGCUGAGGCAGAAGCUGGACCAUCUCACGUUGCGGGACGUGCGCUGGGUGGGGAGUUAGACCUGUUUGAGCCUCCUCCUUCCUUGAGGUUGGUUGAUGUCUGGACUCCCACACCUGACGAUGAGGCCGCCAAGACUAAUGGCAAGCAGGAAUAAAGGUGUAAUAGAAGUAGAGUAGUGUAUGGUAGGGUAUUGAAGGGUGUACUGUUGUAUAAUGGGUAUUGUAUCCUGUUAAUAGGUUGAACUUUUGUAUAAUGGGUAUUGUAUCCUGUUAUGUAAUAUCGAGUCUGUAUCAUUACUUUUUAUAGUAAUGUAAAAUGGAAGGUUUUCUCUGGCACAUUAUGUUUACUUCAAAUGUUUUUGCCACAGAUGCCGACCAAGACUCGAGGACAGGAUGCAGCAUGAACUUCUGGGGGACGGGAUGCUACCCCAAACCCACCUCCAGUUCCUCCCACGUUAGCCGAGGCGAUCACCGCCUUGGUGAAUGCCACCGCCGAAAAUACCCGCUUCCUUAGGGAAAUGGCGGGUCAGCAACAAUUCCAGCAGCAGGCGGGAAGAGGUUAUCCGCAGGGUCCCCGUGAGACCACUUAUCUGGAUUUCUCGGAAACUCGUCCACCUCUAUUCGUCAAAGCAGAAGAUCCCUUAGAAGCUGACGAGUGGAUUCGGGUUAUCGAGCAAAAGUUUGGUCUUCUCCGAUGCUCAGAGACGCAGAAGCCGUUGUUUGCUGCACAACAACUCCGUGGUCCUGCCAGUACCUGGUGGGGAAAUUUUAUGGCUAUUCAACCUGAUAAUCAUCAAGUCACCUGGAAUGAGUUUAAAGCAGCUUUCCGUGAACAUUACAUCCCUGAGGGAGUGCUGCAUAUGAAACAAGAGGAGUUUAUGAAGUUACGACAAGGUGGAGAUACCAUUACUCAAUAUCUCAACAAAUUCAAUCACCUGUCGCAAUAUGCUAUUGACCAGGUGAAUACGGAUUUGAAGAAGAAGAACUGUUUUAUGCGGGGACUGAAUGAUCGGCUACAAAGGAAAAUGGCCACAUGCAUAGACCUCACGUAUGGAAAGGCUGUCAGCACAGCCUUAUCUGUUGAAGCCAAAUACACAAAUUCUGGAAUGAAUAAGGGAUUUGGUGGUGAGCGGCCUAAUCAGGGCCAGGCAAAGAAACCACGGUUUGUGAUUCGACCCUCAAACCAGAAUCGCCCUUUUUCUCGUCCACCUUCAUUUCCCUUCAAACAGCCUAUUAUUAUCCGCCCCAACAAUGCCCCCACUACCCCAAAACAGCCGGGUGCCCCAGGCACUCGAUUUCCUGCCUUGCCUAGUUCUUCAACUGGGUGCUUUAAUUGCGGCAAGUCGGGACACUUCAUCAAGGACUGCCCAUAUCCUAGGCAAAAUCAAUCUAAUGCUUCGCAAGGAUCUGGGAAAUCACUUCAGCCCAAAGGAAAUGCUGUGGGGAAGAAUACAAAGAAAACGGGGCGUGUAUACUACACUCAAGUGGCUACUACACCGGAAGGAGAACCGGUGAUGAUGGGUACGUUUCCCGUAGCCAGUCACCCAGCAAUUAUUCUUUUUGAUUCUGGUGCUUCACAUACAUUUAUUAGCAAGAAGUUUGUGGAACAACAUCAUAUUGCAUACCAUGAAUCAAAGGAGGGAUUUAAAAUUCAUUCACCUGGGGGACACAUUUAUACUAAAGAAGUGGCCUAUGGAGUGCCAGUAACAAUGGCCGGACGGAACUUUCCUGCUAACAUGAUUGUUCUAAAGGGCCAGGAUAUAGAUGUAAUUUUGGGAAUGAAUUGGUUAACCCCACACAAAGCAAUUCUCAAUACUGAACUCAGAACCGUCAGGUUGAGCUAUAACCAAGAAGAGAUUCUCUUGACUCUCCCCGCAACCAAUCCGGCCAACACUUCUGGUAGAGUCUAUGAAGCCAUUGUACCGGAGAUCGAGAAUAUUCCGGUAGUAUGUGAGUUUCCAGAUGUAUUUCCGGAAGAUUUGCCUGGACUGCCCCCUGAAAGAGAUGUAGAAUUCGUAAUUGAGCUAAAGCCCGGUACGGCUCCCAUCUCCCGAAGAUCGUACCGUAUGCCCCCAAAUGAAUUGGCGGAACUGAAGACUCAAUUGCAAGAUCUACUGAAUAAAGGAUUCAUCCGGCCAAGCUCGUCCCCUUGGGGUUGUCCCGCCAUUUUUGUUAAGAAGAAGGAUCAAACCUUGAGAAUGUGCGUGGAUUAUCGACCCCUAAAUGAGGUCACCAUCAAGAAUAAGUACCCCCUUCCCAGGAUCGACAUCUUAUUUGAUCAACUGACUGGGGCGAGGGUAUUUUCCAAGAUUGAUCUCAGGUCGGGCUAUCAUCAAAUCCGUAUUCGGCCCGAGGAUAUACCGAAGACCGCGUUUACUACGCGAUAUGGAUUGUUUGAAUACCUGGUAAUGUCGUUCGGGCUCACAAAUGCUCCUGCCCAUUUCACUUAUCUGAUGAACUCGGUAUUCAUGCCCGAAUUGGACAAAUUCGUGGUAGUCUUCAUUGAUGAUAUCUUGAUAUAUUCCAAGAAUGAAGAAGACCAUGCUCAGCAUUUACGGAUUGUAUUGACGCGCCUAAGGGAACACCAGCUAUAUGCCAAGUUCAGGAUGUGCGCGUUCUGGCUGGAAGAAAUUCAAUUUUUGGGGCACGUAUUAUUAGCUAAAGGAAUUGCGGUAGAUCCUAGUAAGGUCAAAGAUAUUCUGGAGUGGAAACCCCCAACAACUGUUCACCAAGUCCGGAGUUUUCUUGGACUAGCUGGGUAUUAUCGCAGAUUCAUACCAGAUUUUUCUAAGCUUGUGAAGCCAAUCACAAGUUUGUUGAAGAAUGACAUUAAGUUCAAUUGGUCCUCUAAGUGCAAUGAAGCCUUUGAGCAACUAAAGACACUAUUGACCACUGCUCCGGUAUUAGCUCAACCGGACAUCACUAAACCUUUUGACGUAUAUUGUGAUGCAUCUGGCAGUGGGCUCGGCUGUGUACUGAUGCAAGAGGGCCGAGUGAUUGCGUAUGCUUCAAGGCAGUUGCGCCGGCAUGAGGAGCACUAUCCAACUCAUGAUCUGGAGCUAGCUGCUGUGGUUCAUGCCCUAAAGAUUUGGCGUCACUAUCUGCUGGGUAAUAUCUGUCACAUAUAUACAGAUCAUAAAAGUUUGAAGUACAUCUUCACCCAGUCAGAGUUGAAUAUGAGACAAAGACGAUGGCUUGAGCUCAUUAAAGACUAUGAACUGGAGAUCCAUUAUCACCCAGGCAAGGCCAAUGUGGUGGCAGAUGCGUUGAGUCGUAAGACUUCCUGCCACUGUCUUAUGGCGAAGACUUCCGAGAACACUUUGUGUCAGGAAAUGGAAAAGCUAAACCUGGGGAUCAUCCAACAAGGGACUCUAAAUCAGUUAAGGCUUGAGUCAAUCAUUUUGCAAAGAAUAGUUGAUGCUCAAAGGGAUAAUCUGGGUAUGAAGCACAUACGAGAAAAGAUAAGGGCUGGAACAGCCAAGUGUUUCAAAGAAGACGAUCAAGGUGUGAUAUGGUUUAAAAACCGCAUAGUUGUGCCAAAGAACGAAGAGCUCCGCCAGCAAAUUCUGGAUGAAGCACAUCUUAGUCGCUAUUCUAUUCAUCCCGGAAGCACUAAGAUGUACCAAGAUUUAAAGCAACAUUACUGGUGGACAAAAAUGAAGAUUGAGAUUGCACGCUAUGUGGCGAAGUGUGACACUUGCAGACGUGUCAAGGCCAUACACAUGAAAACUGCUGGUCCAUUACAAUCUUUGCCAAUCCCAACAUGGAAAUGGGAAGACAUCAGCAUGGACUUCAUUGUGGGAUUGCCCAGAACCGCAAAAGGCUUUGACUCCAUCUGGGUUAUCAUCGAUCGACUUACAAAGAUCGCCCACUUUCUCCCGGUCAAAGUUAAAUAUCCCGUCAUUACCUAUGCGGAGUUAUACAUUGCCCGUAUUCUCAGUUUGCAUGGUGUUCCAAAGACCAUAGUGUCGGAUCGUGGACCUCAAUUCGUAUCCAAGUUUUGGGAAGAACUUCAUAAAUCCCUGGGUACCAAAUUACUCCACAGUUCGGCCUAUCAUCCUCAAACCAGUGGACAGACUGAGAGAGUGAACCAAAUACUUGAAGAUAUGCUGCGGGCAUGUGUCCUGGACUUUUCACCAAAAUGGGAUGAAUGUUUACCCCUAGCGGAGUUUUCAUACAAUAACAAUUAUCAAGAAAGUAUCAAGAUGGCACCUUUUGAAGCUUUAUAUGGACGUCGGUGUCGGACUCCGCUAAAUUGGUCUAAACCUGGAGAAAGAUACUUCUUUAGACCUGAUAUGGUGAAAGAGGUUGAAGAAAAGGUUCAGAGAAUUAUCCACAAUAUGAAGAAAGCUCAAGCACGGCAAAAGAGUUAUGCAGACAAACGGCGAAUGCCCUUAUAUUUUCUUGAAGGGGACUAUGUCUACCUGAAGGUAUCACCUAUGAAGGGCGUAUCGCGUUUCGGAGUUAAAGGAAAACUUGCACCACGAUAUAUUGGUCCUUUUCUUAUUCUGGAAAGAUAUGGGCCAGUGGCGUAUCGACUCCAACUCCCCGAAACCUUGUCUGCUGUGCACAAUGUGUUCCACGUGUCACAACUGAAGAAGUGUCUUCGGGUUCCUGAUCGAACCGUUGAAGUGACUGAUGUUGUCCUGGAACCAGAUUUAACCUACUCGGAACAUCCUAUUCGAGUUCUGGAUCAAAAGGACAGGGUCACCCGAAGAAAGACUCUCAAGUUCUACAAGAUACAGUGGAACCGGCAUUCGGAAGAUGAGGCUACAUGGGAAACCCAAGACUUUUAAAUAAGAAUUUCCCAGGCUUCCUAGCCUCAUGUAAAUUGUAAAGUCUGUAUAGCGGUUGUAAUGAAGAAGUAACCCCCACAUCACCCCUGCCUUGUACCAAAAUUAAAGAAAUAAAAAUGUGAUGUGUUUCCUUUACCAUUCCCUACCCUAGGAUUUUUAAUCUCGGGACGAGAUUCUUUUAUGGGGGGAAGGAUGUAACACCCCUGGUGUUACUAUAACUAAAACUUGAGCAUGACAUCAUAAGCAUUGACAUUGCAUAUGUGUGACACACCUAGAGUGCAUUCACUAGGCAAAAAUUUCAAACAAGUUGUAUUGUUUUACUGUUUUUGCAAAUGGAACCCUGGUUAAUGGACUUAACCCUAAAUAGUGGUUAAAGGGGUAAAACUUAACCCAAGUUAAGAAAACCUAAAUACUUUAGGGUAAAAGUCAUAAAAUGACCCUAAGAAUAAGCUUGAAUCACUUUUAUACCCCUGAGAUACCAGAAACCCUAAUUGGAACCCUGGAAAACCCUAAAACCAAACCCUAGGGGCUUAUGUGCAAAAAUGAUGAACCUUGGGACUAAAAUGUAAAAACUACUAUGUUUGGACAUAUAAAGUCAUUUGGUUCACAAAUAUGUGAAUUUACAAGCCAAACCCUGAGAUUUGGACUUAAGUGCAAAAUGGACCUCAUUUGAGCUCUAUACCAAGUCUGAAAUUUAGUGUUAAAGGCUCCACUUUGGGGCUUUGCAACUUUCAAAGCAUGGGGUUUUUGCCCUAGGUCACCACAUCAAGUUUGUAGCUCAAUCAUAGGAGAACAACUUUGUUUAAGGAAGUGAGCAAAGUUGUUAAGUGAAUAUGGGAGAUAAUUAAGCCUGAAGAUUGGCUGUCAGGCUGAUUCAGUCGGAAGUUCAGAAGUUCAGUGCAACAGAGCUAACUUUGGACUUGAAUUAAACCUUGAUCCAGUGCUUAAAUAGGUUUAAUCCCUAUAGUUGAUUUGUAGCUGGUAAGUAGCAUUACAACUUUGAUGCAGAGCUUGGGUUAAGUUACCAUUCAAAAUUGAGAGAGAAAGUGGCUCCAAUGUGCUCUGUCAGGCGACUGAAUCAGGUUUUCACCAUGGUACAGUAGUUCCAAACUGAAGAAGAUCGCAGGUUCACUCCCCCUGCUCGCCGCCGGUGUCCAUCACCGUUGAUCCCUGCUCGUCGUGAUUCGUGCGUCGUGGUCAUCGGUUAUGCACAGCUCGGUAAAGAUCCUUACCGCCGGUGAGCUGGCCACCACUCCGACGACCCCCUCUCCUGUCUUCCUUUCUGCUUUGCGGCUGGCACGAUAAGUUCGCCGUCGACCGCCGCUUCCCGACCGUGCGCCGCGUGGCCUAGCCGUUUUACAGCGUCGCCAUGACUCCCUCUACCCGUCCCAUCGUCGCCGGAGAGCUUGCCACGGCAGUAGCCACGUAUUCACCGCGCCAGGCUUCUUCCUCCCCUCCGGCCGCCGCGUUGCUCGUCCAAAAUUUGCGGCCACCGAUCACUCCGCCUAUAAAUUGAAGCCCCCACUAGCUUCGCAACAUCAUCACCCACCUAGCCACCGAGAAUCGCUAGCAAUCGUGCACCAGUGCGCUUGGAUUUCGGUUUUCCCCCAAAUCAAGUUUCCGCCACCCGAAAUCAACCUCACCGCGGCCAGCCUAACUCAGGUUAGUGCAAGGCUCUCUGUUACUUGUUCUAGCAUUCUUGGAUCCUCCUUAAGCUCACCGGCCCACCCAAUUGAAUUAUACCGCCACCAAUCCUUGGGAACACGAUCAACUGUCCGCCACCCAUUCGGUUCACGCGGACAGAGCUUGGUAGCUCACCAUUUGCGCAAUUGAGUGAGGGGAAAUGCUCGGGCAGGCCCCGAUUUGGUGUCCACCGCUCGGGAGCGCCGGUCACUGCCCCUAUCGGCCGGUCUACGCGCUCGCCGGAGCUUCUCCGUGCGCUGCCGUCGUCGGGGACCUAGCCGUGCGAAGAGAUAGAAGUUGGAGGACCCCUGUGCAAAGCGUCAGUGACUUGCGAAAACAGUGAAUGAACCUGUUCUUAGUUAGUAAAAACGUCGGGGUCUUUUCUGUAAAGACACCAGCGCGGAGCGCGCGGGCGCGCUUUCCUCCCUGGUCUUGGGCCGCUGGGCUGAAUCCGGCCCAGUUCCCCUUAAUCUUUUUCUUUUUCUUUUUCCAGCAGAGCUUUAAAAUAUGUAGAAAAAUGUAGAAAAAUGCUAAAAUUAUGAAACUAAUUUUCCUAGGUUUGUUAUUUUCCAUAGUAUUUAAUAAAAAUAAGUUGGUGAUUUUUAGUGAAAGUAAGAAAUUUUAGGGUAUUUAAAGUAGUUAAAAGUCUUGGUUAUAGAUUUUUAGAAAAUAAUUGGUAAGUCCUAAAAUGCCCAAAAUUUUUAUAUGAGUGUUAUACAAUAUUUAGAAGCCUUGGGUAAAGUUUGAAUUGAUUUGGACCUUGUUUGAUCACCAAACCCCAAAACACCCCCCUGCCCUAUGAACUCCUUUACCGACUCCAGAAACCCUAAGUUCCCGGAACUCCGUGAAGGCAAGUUGUAUUCAAGACAUAAAUAAUAAGUUUAUGUUGUCUUUGCAUCCUCAUGAGCAUCCCAUGGCAUCCAUUCUUAUACAUACGUAUGGUUAUGAUUAGAACGAGAAGAAGAAAUAGAAGUAACUGAAGAGCAAGUACAACCACCUUUGGACACUCAGGCCGGGAAUAGUUUCUACUUCGACAUUUGUGGAUCCGAGCCUGAAUCACCUGUAAACGAAGGCAAGCCCCGGUGCAUUUGCCACCUCCCUUGAUGUUUUUAAAAUCUUUCUCACUUGCUUGCUGCAUUAAGUUAUAGGAGUUGAUUGUUAAACAAUUCCUGCAUUACCUUCCUUGAUUUUGAUUACCCCCCCUUGAAAUCCUGUUUUUACAAAAGGUUUUACUUUGCUUAGCAUUGCUUUAGAAAAACAAAGGAUUUGUUUUACAAAAGAUGUUUGGCAAAGUGGGAGGGGUGUUUUUGAAAAUAAAAUUUGAUGGUGGAUCCAUCAGGGCCUUGAUGGAUUCAACAUCUGGAAAAGAUGUACCUCUGCCAGGUACCAAACUUUGGGUUUGAAAUGAUUAAGCUGAGACCGGGCGGGUGACUUGCACGAGAAGAGAGUCUCGGUGUAGUGUCUCCGUCUGAGUCGAUUAAGGACCGUCUCGAUGUAGGCUUGAUGAUCGAGGACCCUUUAACUGGUCACAUGCCUCGUCAUGGGUAAGCCUUGCCUCGGGCAGACUAAGGCCGGAAUAAGAUAACACGAAAUGGGCGUGGAGCGGUGGCGAGAGUAGCGUGUACCCUCCGUGGCAAGAGGCUGGACGGUGGUGUAGUUGUGCUCUCGGUUUGCGUGAACCUGAUCCGGUCUUAAGAACCCCGGUGGUGGGUUGACAUAUGCAAGGGUUAAGUGCUACAUAUGUCGUGUGAUUGGAGAUCCUCAGCUGAGUAUAAUCGAUUCGGAUCGCCGUACCUUCGCGGUUAUGAAGACUUGGUCACUGCCCUACACGUAGCAUUCCACUAAAGACAAUGGGCUUUUGUAAAAAAAUUGGCUAGUGCAGGACCAGUGAUUGAACUAGGGUAGAAAGAACUCUAGUGCAGGUAAUUUUUACUUAACUUGACAAAUUAAAACUGGAUUUUUAAGGAUCCACUUUAGUAAGCAUUUCUGCAAAACAGAGUCUUUGAAUAUUGAAAAGCCUUACCUUGACUCCCACAUAACCAGCAUACCCUUGAGAGUCUUUUCUUUAGUCGGGUAAGACUUGCUGAGUAUUCCAUACUCAGGGUUUAUCCCUUCGUUGUUUUUAGGUGAGGAAGUAGCAGACUUUUGCUACUUCUAUGCCAAGGUGGUUCCAAAAGAAGAAAAUCAAGACUGAAGUGCGGGAGGAUUCGGUCCUCCACUUAAGAUCUUUUGCUUUUAGCUUCUCAGGAGGAGUUUGUGCCUCCCUGGUUUGUAUAAUAUUACUUCUAUGCACUCACUUUUAGACUGGUCUGUAAUAACCUAACUCAAGCUUGCUUUUGAAAUAAAUGUAAGAUUAUGUAAUUCGCUUCCGCAUUUCUUCAUCUCCGAUGUUCUGUAAUGUCUACAAGAUGGGUGAGACGUUCCUGGUGAGGUAAGGAAAGAUACCGAACUUGUCAAGUAGUUCAGGGGCACCUACAGGGUUGUCUGAUGUCCGUUGGACACGGACAACUGUAGGUGGGCCUAAUUACUUGGGAGGUUCCGUCACACGUGGGCGAGCGCGAAGGGGGGAGAGGCGAGGUGUCCGGAGACGGGCGUGAGAGAGGUGGAGAUCCCGCGGCCUUCGUGUUCGUCCCGCGCCCAGGUCGGGUGCGCUUGCAGUAGGGGGGUUACAAGCGUCCACGCGGGUGAGGGAAGCGAGCGGCCCCAAGAGAGCGCCUGUCCCGUCCUCGUCCCCGCGCGGCCAACCUUCUCUAAGAAGGCCCUGGUCCUUCCUUUUAUAGGCGUAAGGAGAGGAUCCAGGUGUACAAUGGGGGUGUAGCAGAGUGCUACGUGUCUAGCGGAGGGAGAGCUAGCGCCCUAAGUACAUGCCAAUGUGGCAGCCGGAGAGAUCUUGGCACCCUACUGGCGUGAUGUCGUGGCUGUCGGAGGAGCAACGGAGCCUGGCGGAGGGACAGCUGUCGGAGCGGUCGAGUCCUUGCUGACGUCCCCCUGCUUCCGUAAGAGAGCUGAGAGCCGCCGUCGUCAUAGAGCUUGUGGGGCGCCAUCAUUGCCCAUCUAGCAGAGCUAGCCAGAGGGGACACCGGUCUUGUUCUCCGUGACCCAAGUCGGCUCGGGGUAGGAUGAUGAUGGCGCUUCUCGUUGACGUGGCGGGCCCGUGCCCUAGGUCGGGCGAUGUGGGGGCUCCUCCGAAGCCGAGGUCGAGUCUGUCUUCCGUGGCCGAGGCCGAGCCCGAGCCCCUGGGUUGGGCGAGGCGGAGGUCGUUCGGCAGAGGCCAGGGCGGAGUCCGAGCCCUGGGGUCGGGCGAAGCGGAGUUCGUCGUCUUCCGGGCCUCAGCCCGAGUCCGAGCUCUGGGGUCGGGCGGAGCGGAGUUCGUCGUCUUCCGGGUCUUAGCCCGAGUCCGAGCCCUGGGGUCGGGCGGAGCGGAGUUCACCGUCUUCCGGGUCUUAGCCCGAGUCCGAGCCCUGGGGUCAGGCGGAGCGGAGUUCGCCGUCUUCCGGGUCUUAGCCCGAGUCCGAGCCCUGGGGUCGGGCGGAGCGGAGUUCGCCGUCUUCCGGGUCUUAGCCCGAGUCCGAGCCCUGGGGUCGGGCGGAGCGGAGUUCGCCGUCUUCCGGGUCUUAGCCCGAGUCCGAGCCCUAGGGUCGGGCGGAGCGGAGUUCGCCGUCUUCCGGGGCUGAGCCCGAGUCCGAGCCCUGGGUCGGGCGGAGCGGAGCUUCCUAUGGCGCCUUUGGCAAGGCCUGACUGGCUGUCAGACUCACUCUGUCGAGUGGCACUGCAGUCGGAGUGGCGCAGGCGGCGCUGUCCUUCUGUCAGACCGGUCAGUGGUGCGGCGGAGUGACGGCGGUCACUUCGGCACUGCCGGGGGGCGCGCGUCAGGAUAAAGGUGUCAGACCACCUUUGCGUUAAAUGCUCCUGCAACUCGGUCAGUCGGUGCGGCGAUUUAGUUAGGGUUGCUUCUUAGCGAAGCCAAGGCAUCGGGCGAGCCGGAGAUGCGUCCGCCGUUAAAAGGGGGGCCUCGGGCGAGACGGAAGUCCCUCGAGGUCGGCUGCCCUUGGCCGAGGCUAGGCUCGGGCGAAGCGUGAUCGAGUCACUCGUAUGGACUGAUCCCUGACUUAAUCGCACCCAUCAGGCCUCUGUAGCUUUAUGCUGAUGGGGGUUACCAGCUGAGAAUUAGGCGUCUUGAGGGUACCCCUAAUUAUGGUCCCCGACAGUAGCCCCCGAGCCUCGAAGGGAGUGUUAGCACUCGCUUGGAGGCUUUCGUCGCACUUUUUUGCAAGGGGACCAGCCUUUCUCGGUUGCAUUUUGUUCCGGUGGGUGCGCGCGAGCGCACCCGCCGGUGUAGCCCCUGAGGCCUCGGAGGAGUGGUUUCACUCCUUCGAGGUCUUAAUGCCUUGCGUAAUGCUUCGGCUGGUCUGGUUGUUCCCUCAUGCGAACUGGCCAUAGCCCGGGUGCACGGUCGGGGCCCAAGCUCUCGGGCUGGUAUGUUGACGCUGUCAACGGUCUGGCCGGAGCCGGGUUUGCGAGAGCAGCCCCGAGCCUCCGCACAGGGCGAGAGGACGAUCAGGGACAGACUCGGCUUUUUUACAUACGCCCCUGCGUCGCCUUUCCGCAAGGAGGAGGGGGGAGAGCGCCAUGUUACCCUCGAUGGGCACCGAACAUGGUGUCUCCGGUGAGCUGCAAGCGGGUGAUCCGAGUGGACGUCCGUGCCCCAUUCGUUGGGGGUCGGCUAGGGGCCCAGAGGCACGCCCAAAAGUACCUGCGGGUGAUCUGCCGGACCCGAUCCCCUGGCGACGGGGUCCGAGGGCUCGAUGCCUCCCUCCGAUGGGAUUCCGUUACAAGAUCGUUCCCGCUGGUCUCGGAAAUGUCCUAGGGUACCUCGGGAGCGCAGCCCGAGCCUCGGUUAUGUAUCGAACGUACCCCCGGUCAUCCCUCGCUCGGCGUCUGAGGCGACUGUGAACCCUUCGGGGGCCAGCCUUCGAACCCCUGAUCAGUAAUGGGCGCGGAGCCCGAGUAGCCUGAGGCGGCCAUGGAGCCCUUCGGGGGGCUGGCCUUCGAACCCCUGACCAGUAGUGGGUGUCGGGCCCACGCGAUCUGAGGCGACUGUUGAACCCUUCGGAGGGCCAGCCUUCGAACCUCUGAUCAGUAGGGGGGGG
Molecule: long non-coding RNA, 87875 nt
Filed under: Zea mays
Lineage: Eukaryota; Viridiplantae; Streptophyta; Magnoliopsida; Poales; Poaceae
Description: long non-coding RNA (ZMAY_LNC000772)
Source: RNAcentral